UUGGUGAUUUGAUCGACAAUUUGCAUGGAUAAGAGGAGUGAGGACUUGAGUGUUAGAAGUUUGUCCAUUCUUAAUAGGCUCUUCUUGGUAAAUGGUGCUAGAAAUUUGCAACUGAGAAUGACUCCCUUUGUAAGCAGGUGAUUAUAGGGAAGUAUAGGAAGGAAGAGAGGGGAUAGUGCUCUAGGAGAGUGAGGGAAGAGUAUGAGCCAUGGUAGGGUUUCAAAAGACACUUAGGAGUGAGUAGGAGGUGUUUAACAAUAGAACUGGAUUUAGAGUGGGAAACAGUCAGAGGGUGAAAUUUUAAAAGGAUAGGUGGUGGAGUAACAAACCUUUGGAAGAGGCCUUUCUUGCUUUGUUCUCAAUAGCCACCGUCAAAGAUGUAUGGGUAGCCAUGGUGUGGGAGUAGGAAGGAAAGGGAGGAUGUUAGAACCCCAGGUUCACAGGAUAGAUUCAUGAAUGGGAUCUACAUGAGGUGGAGGCCUUUUUUUGGAGAUGACAAGCAUAUACAAUUAGUAGGGAUACAAGAGAUAAAAUGAUUUGGCUGAAUUGAAAUAUGGUAAAUUCACAAUUAAAUCUCUAUGUUCCUCUUGAUUAAAUGGAAGAAGGGAGGCAUUCCCCGCUUGCAUUGUUUGAAAUCCGUGGGUUCUGGUGAGGAUCAGCCUUUUUUGCUUGGGCAGUUAUGUGGGCAAAAGUAUCAACAUUGGAUUAGCUCAAAAGGAGGGGUUUGAGGAUGCCAAACAAAUGCUAUCUAUGUAAAGGAGAAGAGAAGCGGUUGAUCACAUCCUCCUUCAUUGCUCCAAAGCAGUCAUGUUUUGCCAACUAAUUUGUGCUCUUUUUGGAGUACAGUUGUGAUUGCUCUCCUUAAUUAAAGAUGUCCUUUCGAGUUGGGAAGGAUCUUUUGUUGGGAAGAAGAGGAAGAAAGCUUGGAGAGUGGUUCCUUUGUUCUUAUUUUGCCUUUGGACUACAUGCAUAGGAGAGUGUUUGAAAAUUCCAAAAGAAAUGAACUUAUCAAAAAAAAAAAAAAAUUCCAAAAGAAAGGAUAAAGAAAGGAUCAAGCAAUCAAACACCAUUUACUGAAAGAACAAAGAGCAGCUCCUUUGUUCUUAUAAUUAUCUCUAGGAAUAGCAAUGCCUGUAAUAUCAUUAAUCACGUCCAUGCGAAGAAUGUUGGAGCAUGAUUCAACUUUCCAAGAAAGAAUAUGUCAAUCUGUGAAGUAUUAGAAGGGAUACUUCAUAUAUAUAUCAUCUAGAAACUUGCUUUAGCAAAUCAAUUAAUAUUUUGAAGAUUAUUAUCAUCUAAAAAUAUGCCAAGGGGUUUCUUAUAAACCCAAGAUCAAUUCAAAAGAACACAUGACUACCAUUUCCCAUGAAUCAUUCCAAUGAAUUUCCUCUGAUAUAAAAGAUGGAACAUAUUUAAAAUAAAAAUAAAAAUAAAAAGUGGCAGACUGCAUUUACCUGUACAACUAUUAGCAUUUGAGAGGAAUUCUUUUCUCAUGUUGAAUGAGAAGAAAGGAACAUGCUAAAUGAUUAUGCUGCAUUAGUUGGUUAAUGUGUCAACGCUUGUAUAGCUGGCCUCCAUGCUGCUGUGUUCUUUUGUUGAGGAUGUUUAUUGUAUAUAUGGUUAAACCUGAUUUGUAACAGAGCAGAGGUUGUCUUGGAUGCUGUACCAAACCCACACCAAUUAUUGCUGUGGACGAGCCAUCAAAGGGAUUGAGAAUUCAAGGGCGGACAGUGAAGAAACCCAGUAUAUCAGAAGAUUUUUGGAGCACCAGCACAUGCGAGAUAGAUAACAGCACUGUCCAAUCUCAAAGAAGCAUAUCAUCUAUCAGCACCUCAAACCAGUCCCUUACUCACUAUAGUGGCAUUGGUAGCACGAGCAAUAAUUCUGAAUUUAUAAAUCAUGGCAAGUUAAUUAUUUUAUUUUAUCAUCAUUUGAUGGAUUGCUAAUCAAAUAUGGUUUUCAUGUGUCCAGCUGCUGACACUCCUUUUGCUUGCAGGUCUUCUUCUCUGGAAUCAGACAAGGCUUCAGUGGGUUGGAAAUAAAAGGUCUGAGAAUCAGAGUCAACAAAUUCGGGAGCCCAGAUUAAGGUGGGUACCUUGCUUUUUUCCUUUGUUAACCGAUUCAUAUUGUGAAAGCAGUCAUCCGGUAGUUUUGUGGAUGCAGAGCCAAAUGCUUCUACUUCUCAUCCACUAAAUUAAAAUAAUCACCAUUAUCCUUUUCUGCUUUGGAAAAUGCAUCUGUCAUUCAUUCAUUUCUAGCAAUAUAAUGAACUCUUGAUAUUCAAUACUUAUAUUACAUAUGUAAUCCAUAAUCUACUGUAAUCACUUCUGGUAAUUGUUUCAAGAGUUUCUUAAAGGAGCUUGGGGCAUAAGUCAUUUAAGUGGAUUUUUCUAGCUAUAUCUUUCUCCAGUGGUUAAACCAGUGUGUCUUUACAGAUGGAAUGCAACUUAUGAAGGUUUACUUGGAACCAACAGGCGUUUCUCCCAGCCCAUCCCUCUCUCUGUAAGUCUUCUGUGCUGUAAGGUGGUCUUAAAUCAAUCUCCCAGUAACCCCCACCGUGGCUAACUGCUUCGAUCUUUGACUGACAGGAAAUGAUAGAUUUUCUGGUGGACGUAUGGGAGCAGGAGGGGAUGUAUGAUUGACAAAGGGAAUUCCAGGAAAUGUUUUGGUUUCUUCAUAUAUCAGGAACCCCCGUCUUUAUAAAUUGUAACUUUAUAAAAAGCUUUGAUAUAUCGCUGAAGAGAGAAAAAGGUUGAAAAAAAUCAAGGGAUUCUUUGUCGGUUAUCAUUUCAAAUGUUAAUAUCCAUCCAAUCUUUUUCUCUCUCGCGUACUCAUGCCUGUUGAAUAUUGCCUACUGGACUCAAUGGUAUCAGCCACUUAAUAUGCAUUUAGUCCUUGGAAAAUAGACAUGAUAACCAAGCUUGGUGGUUUCCAGAUUGACCUGACCUCUACCUGUAUAGUUUUGAUUACUACUGAUUAACAGUUGAGGGAACUUGUUAUUCAUCUUAAGAGUAUUCUCAAUGACACAAUGGUAUCAUGCGUGAUAUAAUGCCACCAAGAAGCACUGUACAUGCUGUUUAAUGAAAUAUCUGUAAGAGGAUUGCCACUGAGACAAGGAAGUCAUGGUAAAUGGGCAUUUUGUUGUUUCCUCAUCACAAUCUGUAGCACUGGAGGGUCAAAAUAUUUUUACCUUAAGAUUUACAUAUCUGUGGCAGGAUCUAUAGAAGGCCUGGUCAUAAUUAUAAGUCUUGUGGUGCCUGUCGGCAAAAAAUAAUGUACUUGGCCAGAAUGUUCAUAACUGUCCACUACUUAUUGUUUAAUUUGCUUGGAAUUUAGGAACUAUGGUCUCAUUUCACCUUGCCUCACCAAAAGCCAUGCUGCACAAGCUCACAAGAGAAAAAGGCUGAAGCCAUCAGUAACAUACAAAUUCACAUGAGAGUAUUAUUUAUCAGAAAAAUGAUUUUUUUUUUGGAAGCCCUAAAAAUUCCUUCCAGUAAAGGACAUGGGUGUUGGGUGGUUUUUAAUUUUAAAAAAACAUGUUGGUCCAUAUGGUUUGUGGUGGUUGAAACAGAAGGAUACUUGGCCUUGGUUUUAUUGAAAUGGAUCUGCAUCUACGACUCUAGGGCACAUUCGAUGAUAUGGCAUGACAUGUUCAAUGGAUCAAGCCUUGAUCAAAUUUUGUGUUCCGAAACCCCUAUGAAGUCUUCCCCUAAUUUCCACACCUACUGCAGUAUGACCCCAGCCGAAUUUCUCUUCAUUGUGGUCCUCUUGAUUCAAUGAUACAUAGUGGGCGUUGUUUCUGAUUUUGAGACAUGACAUCUAUUUUCUUAAUUACGGGUGACGUGUACAGCCUUAGUUCCAGAAAUAACCCACUUCACAAACAUAAUUUAUGGAUUCAUCUAUAAAACCGAAUCAAUGUACAUUUUUGACUUUCAUUGUUUAUAACUUCAUACCUUAAUCCCAUUAGACGAUUUUAAGUCAUUUUAAAAUAAUAAUUUAAAAAACAUAUUUUAAUGACCAAAAUUGUUGAUUUAAAUAAGUAAAAAAAAAAGCUCGCAAAAACACCUCAAUUUUUGCCAUAAUUUUAUUAACAAAAAUUCACAUUUUCCGUGUUGGUUCAAAGACUACUACUUUCCAGCCCGCUGCCCGCCCCGCCGACAUACGGUACAAGAGCGACACUUGCGCUUGACAUCCCCAAACGCUGCCAAAAAUGAAAAAUGCAUUGACAAGAGAGGAGGUUGACAAUCCACCAUCUCCCACACGGCAGCUCAAACCAAAAAUGAAGAUGAUGACACUCUCCCAAUAAGAAAUCAAAAACAAAUGCCUAGGUGAAGCUUCCUCCAAGUGUCCCCUAACGAUACCACCAACAUCCCUCUUUCCUUUCAUAUUUAUCCACUUUCCUUCUCAUUUCUUCUGCUACAGCCUAAGCAAAUAUGCCUUGUACAUUCCUACCCUUGUUUUCACGUCUAAACAUCAUACCAACAUUUCACUCACACGAGAUAGACUUUUCUUUCUCGAAUCUACUUCGUUGCCAUCCAUGUCAAAUUCGAGAUACCCAAAAGAUUUUCACAAAUACUUUUUCCCCUGCCUUCCAAUUUUUAAUAUUGCAAGCCCCCCAACAACGGAAUCCGAAUUAUCAACGCAAAAAGUGGGUGCAAAAUCAGACAUUAAGCCACUAGGAGAUGUAAACCAUCAUAAUCUUUUCCGGACUGCGCGGCCAUGUGUGGAUGGAGGGAGGGGAUGAUACAAUAUUAAAACAUGGAGCAUAUUAGAAAAAUAGUAAGUCAUUGAAGAAUUGAAGACUGGGCCAAGCUACAAUGAAUCUGGGCGACUUAAUGCCCCAAAAUUCGACCAACCCAUUUGACCAAAUCAUGUGUUCCCCACUUUUCCAUCAAUUUUAUUUAUUUUUUCAAUUUUUGGAUUUUCUAUGUGGAUAUGAUUAGCAUGGCUCCCUCUUUCCAAAAAGCAGAACCAGUUAAAAACUUUGGAUCAACAGAUAAAUGCUUUUCGGCAGAUCAAAUGUGAAACCGUGUGGAAUUUCAACCACACGUCUAAUGAUUUAAAGGAUUAGAAUCUUAUGAUUAAAAAAAAUGCCACGCUUAUUUCAUGUAAGAUUUAUAGUUUAUUGUGAAUUGGAUUUGAUUCGAUUGGAUUAAUUAUUUUAUUAAUAAAUUUUGGAAGAAAUUUCAAAUUUCAAAAAUUUUGUGUUAAAUAGUAAUCUCUCUUAUAUAUUUUUUUUCAUCAUAUAAAUUUUUUAUUAAGUAUUUAUUUCAUAAUUAUUGAAAUAGUUUCUUUAAACCCACUUAAUCAGUGGUGUCUAGUAGUGAUCCUGACUUGAAGAUGAGUUGAUAAUCAUUUGUCUUGUCGUUUAUAAGUUGAUACUGUUGUUGAAAAUAAAUCGAUAAAGUCAAUCCACAUGAAUUUUACAUCAAAUAAUACUUAUACAAUUCUUCUUUUAAGUCAUGCGUUAUAUUUGUGAUCUCAAGAAUCUUUAAGGAUGGCCAUUUAUCUUUUUUGGUGAUAUGAUAAAUUGUCGUUAUUAUAAACAAAAAACUGAGGUAUUGAAGAUAUAUUAUUGAACUUUCAAUCCCUACUAUUGAAAAAGAAGAAAAAAAAUUAAAUAAUUAGAUAAAAUGGAAUCAAACCUAAAUUUUCACAUACAUGUGAUUGAUUGUACUUUUUAAUAGGUACGUCUUUGUUCUUAAAGUAAGACCCUAUUAUGAGACAUCUAUUUGACCAAGCAUCUUGGCCGGUUCAUUUUUGUAAUUUUUUUUAUGCCAGUUUUAAAUUUUCAUACUUUUUUAGAAUUAGUAGGUUUAUAUAAUUAAUGUUUUUAUUAUCAAAUAAUAAUAAUAAAAAGGAUUGUUAGGGGUUUACAAUGACUUUUAAAGAUUCAAAGUUAUCAUUAGUUUUGAAUUAGGAUCAUUGAAGUAUAUAUAUAAUAUAUAAUUAAGAAUUUAUAGGUGAAUAAUGACAAUAAAAGGUGUAUAUUAAUUUUUACUUUGGUGUGUAAAAAUUAUUGAUAAAAAAAUUUUAAAAAAAAAUCAAAAUUUAUUGAGGAUUACUUAAAGAUCCAUUACAAUAGCUCAAGUGCUCAACAAGUUUCUUUAUUUUUCAUGAUUUUUAUUUCAUGUGUAUCAUAUGCACUCAUUAGUGUUUUCCUCGUACAAAUAUGUUUUAUAGUAUUAAAAAAAUGUAUGAAAAAUGUUAUUGCUAUUAUUCUCUUGCACAUUUACGAUAUUCUUAAGGGUCCAAUUGGUAUUUAAGGUUGAGUCAUGACGAUCAAUCCUAAUCCAUCGAGUCAUUGAGGAGUUCAUUAAGAAGUAUGAAGUGCUAUGUUAUGAAUCCAAAGACAUGUAUAUGUACGGAUUCGGAUGAGAUUCUUGUAAGAAGGUAACUUAUGGUUUAAGUUAAUUUAUGAACUUGUUCUUAUUGAAUUAUCGAUUAGAUUUGACUAAGUCUAAAUUUAUGUAAAUUGAGCUUAAAAUUUGAAAUUAUUAAUUCACCCUUUCGGCUAAGUUUCAAAAAAUUUAAAACUCAUCCUUAUUUUUAAUAAAAAUCAUUUUUAAGAUAUAUAAUUAAAAAAAAUCAUAUAAUAAAAAAACAAUAUAUAACAAUAAUUGUUUUUGUUUUUACCUACUCCACAAAACUAAAUACAGUGAAUGCCAUGGAGGGAGUCACCAUUAUCAUUUAAAGAAAUGAUUGAAAUGAAAGCACAGCUGAUGAUGGAGAGGGACCAUCAUAUGAAAUGAAUGAAUCAGCACCCCCCGCCCUUAAAAUAAUGUAAGACCACAAAUACAAGUGGCCUGGAAAAUGAGGCAGAACACAAGUUUGAAUCUUGAAGCGAAGAUCCAAUGAUUCUAGCCAUUAGGCAACCCCCACGGCUCUGCCUCUCUGUCCAGACCCAGUACCCCCUACCCACUUUUUCUGACUCACUCAUAGUUCUUUUUUUAUUUCUGAAUUCUGUCCAUACCAAACACUCCCUUAGGCCCCACAUCUCAUCCCCUGCCAACUCAUUGGAUACAAAUCUCAAUUUCUCCCUGCUUACCCAAAAAUUCCAUGCAUGCACCUCUAAAUCUUUUAAACCCUAAAAAUUUAGAUCACCUUACUUUUCCAACAAGCCAUAUACCCUUAUCCCCAUAUCGCCAAAAUCUUUGAAAAUGGCAAUAUUUUUUUUGCUCUUUUGUAAGGAUGUGAUCUCUCCUUUUGGGUUCUAGUUUACCUAACCUAUUACUUCUUUGUCAUUAGGUCGCCAUUGUUGUUUUGAUUAAUAUUUUUGUGAGGAGAGUGGGAACAGUCACGUGUAUUUGGACAUGAAAUCUUUGCUUAAGAGAUUUUGUAGAGUUUGGUGCACCCACUGAAUGAUCUAUCCUUCUCAAUGCAUGUAACAAUCUUAUACAUUUCAUUAAUAUCAUCAUCAAUCUUUUCUUUGCUAUUCCUAUCUGGUAUUACCUUCAUCUACUAUCUACCUUGUGGCCCUUACAUGGUUACGUGUGAAAUGGGGAUUUUGGGUUGAAUCUCUUCCACAACCUCCUUCAAAAGGUUAAAUGGCUAUGUUAAAAGUUAUAAAAAUAUUAAAUUUAAGACUUAAUUAAAAAUAAAUAAAAUUAAGCAAAUAUAAAAGCUCUUAAUAAGCUUAAAAAAUGGUUAAGAUUUGAUAUUAUUAGAAGGAAAAUUCAAAAUUGCAGACUCUUUUCAUCAUUUAGUUUAAGAAGAAAAAUUUUCAAAAUUAUAAAACUCUUCCUAUAUAUCAUCUAAUUUAGCAGGAAAAAUGAUCAAAUAUCUGUCAAAUAUAUAUUUUUAUAUUUUCCAAUACAACCAUUACAUAAAAAAUUCAUAUUCUUUUUAGGUAGGAUGACAAACCCCACUACCCCAGCCUAACGAGGGACGCCAUCCGUACAGCAUCUCAGAGACCUUGAACUACCUAAAGUACCAAUGUGCAGGUUGCAAAUAGAAAAGCAACUAGUGGAUUGCAUUACUGUUUCUAAGCUAUGGUUGGCUGUAGCGGCUCAGCCUCAGCAUGUGAUUAGAGAAAAAGAAAUGCCCAUUUGCCUAUAUUCUUGCCCCUCGUCCUCACUUUCCAAGCUGUUUUUCUCAUCAUGCCUAUCCUAAUUCCUAAUCCACCCCCCUACAACAACUUGCACAGAAAGGGCACACCAAAGCAUAUGGUUUAUGGAUAUGGUUUUGGGUUUUUGACUACAUGCAUCCAACCCUUUUCCUCUUUCCCCCACAACUUAAAAAAGGGUGCACCAAUCAUAUUCCCAUCUUUAGUGAGCCAAAUUUUAUUAAUUAGCUUCUCAUCUAGCGUGGGGUUUAGCUUUUGACCCAAGUGGGCUUUCUAAUGCAUGUCAGAAUUCUAAGUUUUUAGAGUAGGUUUUAGCUUUUGAACCAAGUGGGUUCUUUAAUAUAUGUCAAAAUUCAAAGUUUUUGGAGUGGGUUUAAGUUUUUGAACCAAGUGGGUCAUUUUAAAAUAUGUCAAAAUCCCAAGUUUUUAGAUAUUUUUGUGUGGAGAAUAUAAAAUAGAAGAGAACACUUAAGACUUAAAAGUGGGAAAUAUGUGAAAAAUAGAUGUGUAGUGUGAAUAAGUGUGGGGUCAAGUGGAUGGAAAGAGGUUAAAAAUAGUAAUUUCAAGUGGGUGCAUUGGGGGGAGUUGUAUCGUUGAUGGUGGACAUGGGUAAUGGGUCAUCCAAGUGGGCAUUUUUGUUGUUUCUAUGGAAACUGAUGUUACCCACAAUUCCCCAUUGCCUUUAUUAAUGCCCUCUGCUGCCUCGCUGUCUCAACUCCUAGGAUGUUUUUAAACCACUUGUUGGCGUUUUAUAUGCCCAACUUCCCAACUUGCAACUUAUAAAUUAAAGGGGAUGCUACAUUCUAAAAGUAUAUACUUGCACCAUCUAUUGAAAGGUAUCACUCAUCAGCUUAAGGGUGCACUUUGAAUGAGUUGGAAUCAUCUGAAUAUGUUAGGGUUAACGUGGGUUGAAUACUUGAAUCUUUCAACAGCCCACUAAAACCCGAACCCGCAUAUUAUUCUUUUUAAAUUAUAAAGGAAGAAUAAAUUCUAACAUUUCUCAUUUUUUAAUUAUUUUAUGCUCUGAUUUAUUACUUUUUAAUUAUCAUAAACUAAUAUGUUAUCAUUUUUGUCUAAUUGCCCGAAUAAUUUAAGAGUUAAAAAUCAAAGUUUGUAGGUUGUUAUUGUUGUUAAAUCAAUAACUAGCGAACAUAUUUUAAAGUUACCAGACAUUUAAUCUUUCACCUUUUAUUUUAUAAUAUAAUUUAUAUGAUUUACACUUUACAACAAGUACUUUACUUAAUAAUUUACAAGAACUUGUCGGAGCUCGAAUUAUGCAUGAGCUUGACGUGGGUUGAACAUAUUAACAGUGGGUCUAACACUGAGUCCCGCCUAAUUUAUAGUCCUAAUGAGGCGAUAUCACAUAUACAAUUUUAACAUAUGUACCAUAUAUAAGAUUUAAUUACUUUGCCUCUAUAGUUAUCACAUUAUACUUUGAUCUCAUUUAUUUCAAUGAUCGAGAUUCAAGGAAAUACAUUAUCAUACAACCUAAUAAAAAGGAAAAAAUCAAAAGGAAAAUUAGUACCAUUAUUAUUCUCAUGCUAUAUGAGUGAUCAAACCAUCUAAAUUUGCAUUCAAUCAUGUGUCAAAUUUUUAAACCUUUGAAUAUGAAUGCAUAUUAUUAUUAUUCUCAUCCUAAAUGAGUGAUCAAACCAUCUAAAUUUGCAUUCAAUCAUGUGUCAAAUUUCCAAAUUUUUAAAUAUGAAUGCAUAUCAUUAUUAUUUCCAUGCUAAAUAUGAAUACAUAUUAUUAUUAUUCUCAUGCUGAAUGAGUGAUCGAACCUUCUAAAUUUACAUUCAAUCAUGUGUCAAAUUUCCAAACCUUUAAAUAUGAGUGCAUAUCAUUAUUAUUCUCAUGCUAAAUGAGUGAUCAAACCAUCUAAAUUUGCAUUCAACCAUAUGUCAAAUUUCCAAACCUUUAAAUAUUAAUGCAUAUCAUUAUUAUUCUCAUGCUAAAUGGGUGAUCAAACCAUCUAAAUUUGCAUCAAACAACCAUGUGUUUAAUUUCCAAACCUUUAAAUAUGAAUGCAUAUCAUUAUUAUUUCCAUGUUGAAUGAGUGAUCAAACCUUCUAAAUUUGCAUUCAACCAUGUGUCAAAUUUCCAAACCUUUAAAUAUGAAUGUAUAUCAUUAUUAUUCUCAUGCUAAAUGAGUGAUCAAACUAUCUAAAUUUGCAUUCAAACAUGUGUCAAAUUUCCAAACCUUUAAAUAUGAAUGUAUAUCAUUAUUAUUAUCAUGUUGAAUGAGUGAUCAAACCAUCUAAAUUUGCAUUCAACCAUGUGUCAAAUUUCCAAACAUUUAAAUAUGAAUGCAUAUCAUUAUUAUUUACAUGCUAAAUAUGAAUGCAUAUCAUUAUUUUUCCUAUGAUGAAUGAGUAAUCAAGCCUUCUAAAUUUGCAUUCAACCAUGUGUCAAAUUUUCAAACCUUUAAAAAUGAAUGCAUAUCAUUAUUAUUCCUAUGUUGAAUGAGUGAUCAAACUAUCUAAAUUUGCAUUCAACCAUGUGUCAAAUUUCCAAACCUUUAAAUAUGAAUACAUAUCAUUAUUAUUCUCAUGCUAAAUAAGUGAUCAAACCAUCUAAAUUUGCAUUCAACCAUGUAUCAAAUUUCCAAACCUUUAAAUAUGGAUGUAUAUCAUUAUUAUUCCGAUACUGAAUGAGUGAUCAAACCAUCUAAAUUUGCAUUAAACCAUGUGUCAAAUUUCCAAACCUUUAAAUAUGGAUGUAUAUUAUUAUUAUUCCGAUACUAAAUGAGUGAUCAAACCAUCUAAAUUUACAUUAAACCAUGUGUCAAAUUUCCAAACCUUUAAAUAUGAAUGCAUAUCAUUAUUAUUCCAAUGCCAAAUGAGUGAUCAAACCAUCUAAAUUUGCAUUCAACAGUGUAUCAAAUUUCCAAACUUUUAAAUAUGAAUCAUAUCAUUAUUAUUUCCAUGCUAAAUGAGUGAUCAAACCUUCUAAAUUUGCAUUCAACCAUGUGUCAAAUUUCUAAAUUUUUAAAUAUGAAUGCAUAUCAUUAUUAUUCUCAUGCUAAAUGAGUGAUCAAACCAUCUAAAUUUGCAUUUCAUCAUGUGUCAAAUUUUUUAACCUUUAAAUAUGAAUGCAUAGCAAUUGUAAUUAAAUUUUAAUUGUGUUUGGAAGCAAAUUACUUGAUAGAUUCCAUACUAAAAGUUGCACUAAAGAAUCUUAAGAAGGAUGCCACUAUUAAUUUUAUAAAUGAAUUUAAUAUAACUUUAAGGAUGGCUUGAGAAAAAACAAACACUGAAGAACAACCGCCCAUGGGACAGACAAUGCUUGCUUCUCUUAUUAAACUAACCGUCCUGGCAGGCUACCACCAUCAAAAUGUCCAUUCUAAGUCAUUACUUGUUUUGCUUGACAGCAUAGGAGUAUGGAAAAACCAAGUAGGAUCCAUUUUGACAGUCAUAAGGAAAUAAAAUAUUCAAAGAUAAAUAAAUAAAGUUGAAAGGCCCAGAAAAGUUUGAAAUAAAAAAUAAAAACCCAAGGUGGAGAUCCAUUGAUUCUAACCAAAAAAAGGAGAGAGAGAGAGAGAGAGGGAGAGAGGGAGAGAGGUUUUGAAUGGAAUGGACCCACAAAGGGUAUGAUCCAUUGUACAUCCAACGAGAAGUAUGUCUAAGAGAAGAGUACCAAAGAGGGGCCUCGUGUGAAAUAUGAAUGUACCGCCAUUUCUCAUGCCUCCCUCCCUUCCCUCCCCCCUCCCUAGUCACUAUCCCUAUCUCCCACUUCAUAUUUGUUUUUUACUUUUCAUACCAAUUCCAUGUUCACCAAGUCAAUUCUCUCUUUCUCACAGUCUCAUGCCUCAUCAGGCAACAUAUGCUUGACUCAUGUUCAUGCCCCUUAAGCUCUUCCCACUUGACUUCAAUUGUCAAGUUGUAUGCCAACCAAACACCAAAAAACAAAAUUCUUCACGAAGAGAAACUCAAAUAUUACAUUUGAGGUUUUUUACGCAUUCACAACGAUUUCACAAAGUCAUCCCAAUCCUUUUUUAAAAAAGAAUUUGGAGAAAAAGAAUAAAAGAAGAGUGAUUUAUAACAAAAUAUGUUGUUUAGAUGUUUUAAAGUAUGAUGAAUAAAUAUAGCAAAAUAUGCACCGGAUAUAUUUUAGCCUAUUCAUGUUUGAUUUUUAUAAAAACUAAAAAUUGAAAAAAAAAAAAAUAUUAUAAAAAUUAUAUUAUAUUCUAAUAUUUACUAAAAAUAUAAAAAUAUAUAUUUUUUAUUUAAUGUUAUUUGAAAUUAUUCUAUAACAUACCAUUUGCUAAAUUAUUAUUAUUUUAUUUCUUUAUUAAUAAUGUUUACAAUUAAAACGUUUAAAAAUAAAAAUAAAAUUAUUAUAUUAUAGUGUUAAAUAUAUAGAAAAAUUCAUGUGUAUAUAAAUUAUUAUAUUAAAGAAUAUUAUUUUAUGUUGUAUUUUACACAUUUUUGUAAUUAUUUUCUUUUUCAAACCACAAUAUUAAAUUUUUAAUUAACAUUUUUUUAUUCUAUAAAGCGAGUAAUAUAAAAAAAUUUAAAAUAAAUUGAAGAAAAUGACUAAAAAACAAAUUUAUGAUCCAGUAAAAUAUGUUUAUAUAUAUAUUCCUCAAAUAAAAUAAUUAAAUAUUGUAUUACACCACUUAUAUUUACUUAAAUAUAAAAAAAAUAAAUACUUCAUUCUAUAUUUAUCUUCUCGUAAUCAAAAUACGGGUUUAGAUUUAUAUAUAUAUAUAUAUUUUGUAUGAAUCUCAAUUUUACCACCUUUGGUUGAUUCUAGAAUUAGCUUGACUAAAAUGAGUGGGUAUGUUCAUGUACUCAAUUUAGCUAUCAAGUAGUCAUAAUUGACUUUAAUGGACCGAUUAAAUGCACCAAAUUUAAUAAGAGCAAGACUUGGGUUUUUAGAUGUUUACCAUUCAAACUUGAUGUAUCAUAAAAUAACGGACUUUUCAAAUUUAUUUGUCACAUCUCUUCUUAAUAAGAAUAAAGAUUUUUCCCUUUUUCUAAAAUUUUGGUUCAAAAAUUGUUCCUAUUCCUUAUGUCCAUGAGAUUAACUAUUAAAACGUGCAAUUCAUGUUGUAAACUUUCUUUUUAACUUGGAAAAAUACUAAUCCUAAUGAUUGCAAGAAAAGAAAGUUCCAACAAGUUUCUAUCUGAUUAUAAAAACUUUUUAGCCACCUUAAUCAUCUUUUUGAGAUGUAAUUAAUAUUCCAUGAAGAUUCUUUUGAAAGGGAUGAGAAAUGGGAAUAGAAGAAAUCUAGUCAUAAACCUCAAUUUUUAUUACUUAAAAAUGUAAGUGAAGGGAAAGUAAUCUAAGUUUGAUUCCCAAGGGGUAAGAAAUGCCUAACUUCAAGGCAGCUGCUCCACCCCCACCCCCACCCAGCUAAUUCCAACUAAUCAAACAUUAACUAAAGCUUCUACUUGCACCACUUGCUUUCCUAAUCCCAAUCAAAAUCCUAAAUCGAUUUUAGUUCGUAAUGUUUUUCGAAAUUAUUAUCAUUUUUGUGGAUUCUCGAAAUUCAAAAAUUUGUUAAAUAUUUAAUUUAAAAAAGAAAAUAUUUCUUAGUAUUAUAAAAUGUAUCGGAUUCUCUCAAAAUCACUAUUAAAUAAAUAUCUUUAUGUUUAUGAAAAAUAUUAUUGAAUUUUUGUACUCCAAAUAUUAUAAAAAAAAAAAGGGCAAAAAACGGGGUGGGGCGGUAAGUGGUAAGCGGUAAGCGGUAUUGGGGAGGGGAGGUGGUUGGGGAAGAGGAAUAACGGGAAAAAGCGGUUUUAGGGAUGGAUUCAUUGCAUUUGAAAUGGCAAUGACACCUCAUGCCCCCAAUAUAUACUCUUCUCUUUCCUUGGCUUCUCUCAUCAUCUUCCCACAUUCUCUGUAUUCUUCUUCCUCUCUCUUUUUUUGCCCUAAUUCUUUGGGGUUUCAGAUGUUCUUGAUCCUCUCUUCGCCUACUCAACAACCGCUUCUUCACUGCUUCUCCAACGCUGCGUUUUUCUUCUUCUUCUUCUUCUGCUUCUUCUUGGUGUUCGUGUUGGCUCUUCAGUCAUGCCUAUGUCUACCCUCGUCAAUUACAGUGGUACGCUUUCUUAUCUUUCUGGGUUUUUCUUUUUUUCUGUUUGGGUGCAUGAAAACUGAGGAAAAACAAAUGAAAACCAGAAAAGUAGAUGUGUUCUAGCGAUUUCUCUGCAAGCAAACGGUUUUUUUUUGUUCUUGUAAUUGUUUAGCUCUGAGGCUAUGCUUGUUGAUUGGGUUGUUUAUAGUUUAUAGCUUUUUGUUCUUGAUGUUGUAGAUUUAAGUUUGGUUUCUGGGGCAUGGCUGGUUGUGAUAUCUAUAGAUCAAUUUAUGAUUGGGAUCUAUGAAGAUGCUUUUGUUAGAUUUGUGUCAACAUGCAUGAUAAAAUUAUGAAAUCGCCGGGCACUUGUGGAUCCUUGUGCGCGGUUUAGAUCUUGGAGAGAAGGAAGAAAAGGGAAGGGAGGAAAAGGAAAUUUUAUGAAAAUACCUUCAGGAAGUAAUCUCCUUUUCCUCCUUUUUCUCCAAGAUCUAAACAGGUUGUCAAAUAAUUUUCUUCUCAUUGAGAAAUUUUUUUUCCUAGGAUUGAUUCUAUCAAAGGAAACAUAACCUAUAUUUUACUGAAUUUUGGUAGGCCUCCUUCAUGAAAUUGUAUUAAUGAUAGGAGUCCCUGUGUGGGUAAUGAAAUGGUUUUCCACGGUUAUGGCUGAUUUCAGUAUUCAUUGGCUUUUCAGGGGACGAUGAUUUCUAUCCUGGGGGGUCAUUUUACAUAAAUCCCAUGGAUUCCGGCUUAUUGGUUUCAAUUGGCUCCUGUAUGGAUGUAUACUGCCCUCCUCGCAAGCGGUCUCGCAUUACUGCUCCAUAUAUCUUCAGGGAAAACAACCUUGAGCUGGAAAAGCGACCAUCCAUUGAUGUUCUUCCAGAUGAAUGCCUCUUUGAGAUCUUGAGACGCCUUCCUGGAGGCCAAGAGAGGAGCUCCUGCGCUCGGGUCUCCAAGCGGUGGCUUAUGCUCCUUAGCAGUAUCCGUAGGACUGAGAUCUGCCCAAGAAAGAGCUCUCAAUCUUUGAAUGAGUCCUCAAAGCUGGACAAGGAGUUAACCAUUCCCGUUCCUGAUGAUAUUGAAAUGAUCUCUGCUGAAGAUCGGGAACUUGGGAGUGAUGGGUACCUUACAAGAUGUUUGGAAGGGAAGAAGGCAACAGAUAUAAGCCUUGCUGCUAUUGCAGUUGGAACCAGUAGUCGAGGGGGAUUGGGAAAGCUUUCAAUCAGGGAGAGCAGUUCUUCUCGUGGAGUUACCAACCUUGGUCUUUCCAAAAUUGCCCAUGGUUGCCCUUCUCUAAGGGUUCUUUCUCUGUGGAAUGUCUCAGCUGUUGGGGAUGAAGGUCUAUUUGAGAUAGGUAACGGAUGCCACAUGUUAGAGAAGCUCGAUCUCUGUCAGUGUCCUUUGAUUUCCGACAAGGGUUUGAUUGCUAUUGCAAAGAAUUGCCCUAAUUUGACUGCUUUAACAAUUGAGUCUUGUGCAAACAUUGGGAAUGAGAGCUUGCAAGCUAUUGGAAGUCUCUGCCCCAAACUACAAUCCAUCUCUAUCAAAGACUGCCCUCUUGUUGGGGAUCAAGGAGUUGCUGGUCUGUUAUCAUCAGCGACUUCUAUCCUUUCCAGGGUAAAGCUUCAAUCCUUGAACAUCACAGAUUUCUCUCUUGCCGUAGUUGGGCACUAUGGCAAGGCUAUCACCAGUCUUACCCUCAGUGGUCUCCAAAAUGUGAGUGAGAAAGGCUUUUGGGUCAUGGGCAAUGCCAUGGGCCUCCAGACCCUGAUCUCUUUGACAAUUACUUCCUGCCGGGGUAUAACAGAUGUGAGUCUUGAAGCCAUGGGAAAGGGUUGUCCCAAUCUAAAACAGAUGUGUCUGCGGAAGUGUUGCUUUGUAUCUGACAAUGGGCUGAUUGCCUUUGCAAAAGCUGCAGGAUCUCUUGAGGGCCUGCAAUUGGAGGAGUGCAACAGGGUCACCCAGUUGGGGGUUAUUGGUUCCCUUUCAAAUUGUGGAUCUAAAUUAAAAUCUCUUUCACUGGUGAAAUGCAUGGGAAUCAAGGACAUAGCUGUGGGAACACCUAUGCUCUCUCCUUGCCACUCUCUUCGGUCCUUGUCCAUCCGAAACUGCCCAGGGUUUGGCAGCGCUAGCUUGGCAAUGGUGGGAAAGUUAUGCCCUCAAUUGCAUCAUGUUGAUCUGAGCGGACUUGAUGGAAUGACAGAUGCUGGGCUUCUCCCACUUCUUGAAAGCUGUGAGGCAGGACUUGCCAAGGUGAACCUUAGUGGCUGCUUGAAUUUGACAGAUGAGGUGGUUUUAGCCAUGGCUAGGCUGCAUGGUGAAACCCUCGAACUGCUGAAUCUUGAUGGGUGCAGGAAGAUUACUGAUGCAAGCUUGGUGGCGAUUGCAGAUAAUUGUCUAUUACUUAAUGAUCUCGAUUUAUCAAAGUGUGCAAUUACUGAUUCUGGCAUUGCUGCUCUGUCCUGUGGAGAGAAGCUCAAUUUGCAAAUCCUUUCAGUGUCAGGUUGUUCUAAGGUAUCAAACAAGAGCAUGCCUUCUUUAUGCAAAUUGGGCAAGACUCUGCUGGGCCUGAAUCUCCAACACUGCAAUAAAAUCAGCAGCAGCUCAGUCGAGCUGCUUAUGGAGAGCUUGUGGAGGUGUGAUAUCCUCUUCUAAGCAACAAAAAAUUGGCAAAUAUGAAGGUGUUCAACCAGAUCAGGAAUUUCAAGAACUUGCAGUUUGGAAAGAUAGUUGAAGCAUGAUGCUCGUACAGUCAGCUCACACGUAGCAAUGUAGUUUUUUGGCUCUCCGCUGUGGGCCUGCUGGUAGCUCAGUGGUUUGGUUGUUUUCCAGGGGACUUUGGCGGUUCACUUUUCCACCCUCUUUUUGCAGGUUUUCUAUCAUUGGAAAGCUUGUUACAACUGUUUGGCCUCCCAUUAACGGGAGGCCACCUCUUUCAUGGCCAUGGUUCCCUGAGAAUACAGUCACCAAGUCCUGGUUUUAGGUUACCACUAGUGUUUGGUCCUGGUUUUGUAUUGCUGGGUGUGCUAUACCUGGUGUUUUAGCUUUGUCACACAUUCCUUUGAUGGUGUGGCUGGACUAAGCUUUCUCUAUUUUCAGUCCUACAAUCUGUUUUCUGGGUCAGUCCAUAUUAGUUGCAAGUGUCCUUACGAGCCUUGUGUUUGCAACUCUUUCCAAGAGUUGAGAGUCCUUGUUUUUCCUUUUAUUUAAGUUCCUAGUUAAUGGUUGCUUUGGACAGUUCCUGGUGGGGGGGCUUGUUUUUACGGGCUUUGGCCGUGGCUACGUCAUUCAGCUUGCCACCACAACCCUGAUGGUUGUUUUUUUGUAACCAAGUCCUUAUCUGCGUAUGAAUUGUACUCUGCAACAACUUUGUUAUUAAGUAAAGGAUUGGGAUUUUGCCAUUUUUUAGUUCAUAAAUAUAUCUUUUCUGUUGAUCUAGUAUUCUGAGAACUUCCUAGCAUUAAAGAACAUGGUAUGAUAUGUAUAUAUUCAAAUUUACAGCAAGCUGCAUAUGGAUUUUUUCUUCAAAUGUCCUUUCUUUAAUUAGCUUUAAGACAGCUGAUAUGCAUUACUUUACUCAUCUAAAAGACCUCGGCCCUUCAAAUUCUUGCAAAACCGACCAAAUGACAUGAAAAAGGAGAUUUGAACUGUGGUGGGCAUAUAUGACAUAUUGGGCAUAUCUUGGAAGAAGAUUUCUGGAAUGAUUAAAAAUUUUACUGUGCCCAGCAUAUUUCAAUUCCUCUGCUACUAUUACUCAUAGAAGCUCUUGUUCUCAGCCUGGUCUGCUUAUGGAAGAGAAAGAAAUCAUUAGGAAAUAAAAUUUAAAGAUAAACAUUACAGGACUGAAUCGGCAUGGUUCCUUUCUUGAUCUGGAAAUCAAACACAGUGAAUAACACUGUAUGCUGGAAUCUAUUCAUUUUCCCUUGGUAAAGCUUUUAAGCAUGCCCAUCUUCCUGUUAGAAAUCCAGAAAUGAUAGAUGCUUCUCUCAUGAUUGCUUUUCCUCUGACAAUCACUGCAAAAGAAUUUGCUUCCUUUUUAAAUUUUUUGCCUUAGCCAGUAGCAUCCUACUGAAAAAGUAAUUGUGGUGGUGGUCACUUUGAUGACUGUUUAUUAUGUUCCCACUUCUCACUGAUGACCAUUUGUCCUAUAUAUUAGGUUGGGCACAUGGAAAGGUCCCUACCCUUUUUGUUCCCAACAUAGCACAGGGCACAGGGUGCCUUGAAUUUGGACCUCUCCCAUUUGAAGGCAUCUGGGAUGCCUUUGGUUGUCUUGUCAUUGAUAAAGAACAGGGAGUAAACAGUGAAACAAAUAGUGAAAGCAGUUCUCUGGAAUAAUAAAAUCAAACAUGGCUGCAAUUAGCAAUCAGAUUCAACUACUGAUAAAAUAUGUUAAUCAAUAAUGUGUGGCUAUAUCUAUCAAAGCCAUCUGUGUUGUACCUGCUUUUUGUUAAGCCAGUCAGGCUGCUGGCACUUGGACUUCCCCUAAAUCGAAAAAUAUCUAAAACAGGAUUGAACUCUACUCCUUUAGAUCUUACAUAAAAUCUCAAAGGAUCCUCUUGAGGGAAAAUUUGCUUAGCCGGUUCAUAUUACAAUAUUACAGCCUCUAAUGCCUGACACUGUUGUGCUUGGUCAUUUAGCUCGAGUCCCUUGAUUUGGUUUUUCAGUCACACCAUAAAGAUCUGGCCAAUAUCAUGCCCUUCUAGUGCAGGAAUCAUCUCUAGUUCGUAUUCCAACUUUUGUCUUGUUUUGAGUUUCUUCCUUCUUCUUUUUUUUUUUCUGGGGGCUUUUGUUUUUUUCCCCUUAUUUCAAGUCUAUAGAGGAGUUGAAACAGGACUGUCAGCGAAGUCUUCACCACAGGAUAUGCUACCCCAUACUCCAGUACAUAUCCUAGGGGAAGCAACCCAAUAUAGACAUUAGAGAGCAUGGAUCCAAACCUUUCAUAAAGGUGUUGCUUUUUUUAAGCCCCAAUUUUGGUUGAAUUAAAUUAAGCCCAGACUCGAACUUGGGUUUUGUCCAAGCCCAAGUCCCCAUGUUCAAAUAUGGUUCAUGUUCUGAUUUUCAGCUUGGUCACAAGUUUGUUAAAAAGGCUUUUUUAUCAGCCUAAUUUGCUAUAUUGUUCUGCAAAAUUUACUAAGAAGCUUGUUUAUAGGCUUGCCUACGGCUUCAUUUGAUUACUACAGAAAGAUAAGAAAUGAAAUUUUGAAACUUACUAACAAUCAUUUUGCUACACAUUGAAAGGUCAUGAACAAAGGUGUUAGUGUUACCAAUUCAAAAGGUAAAUAUCGAGUAGAUUGAUGUGCUUCAACGACAAAAACUGGUACAUUACAACACAAAGGCUUUCAAGAGAAUCAAUGAAGAGUUAAUGUUUCACAUUCUCUAUGUUGAGAUUUAUUUUACCAGUGACAUCUCAUCAACCUCCAUUAACAAUGUGGUCAACUGCUGAAAACCACGGCGCUUGAAAUUUGAAUUUGGGAUUGAUUUUAAGUAUUGUAUGUGUUUUGAAAUUUGUGCCUGAAAUGUGUUGAUUUGAAAAUUGGAACCAAGGGUAUGGACUAGGGAGACAACUGAGGAUGCCCUUGUGAUAGCUUGGCAGAGCUUCACUAUAGGCCUCUUUCUCUUCACUGUUUUCAAUUAUUAUCAACAAGAUGUCUUGAAGAAAUUGAUGAACUGGACCCCAUUAGUAUUGGUUCAUGGGGGCUGCCCAAGCUUAGGCUCCAAAGUUCCCUUUUUUGGGUAAUGAGAACAGUUAAUGUUUUUGAGAAUAGUUAACAAACACCCUUAGAUUCCUUCUUUUGAACAUAGGUAAUUCUAAUGAAAAGAAGGGGACAGUGGUACUCUUUUUUGGUAAGAAAAUUCAUUUGCUUUAAAUGCAGAGGCUAAGUAGGAAAGAUGAGAAAAUUUCAUUUGCCUAAUACAGAGGGUGGGUCCAAACGACUUCCAAUUAUUUGAAAAAGUGGCAGAUUAAAGGUGGUCUAAAGUCAGCUAGCCAAAGUUCAAACUGUAACUUCAGUCAUUCAUAACUGAAAACCUGAAGUCAGAGCAACAGUUUCCCAAAGAGACAUGGAAAAAUAUUAAGUUAAAACUCUGUUUGGGACCCCCCCAGAUGCAGUGAAUUGGUGAACAAGUGAGACCAUCAUAUGAUAGAUUUCUCUUACAGGCUUUACAGCUAAUGCAAUACCUUCUCUUUUCUUCACCCCCUUUUACAAACACCACCUUCUUAAUCUUUUAAAGGUCUUCAUAUUCUCCCUCCUCCCUCUCUCUCCUUUGUAUUCAAACAUACAGUCCGAUGGCUUCAUCAAGAAACUACCCAAAUGGGCUAAGCAUUGCGGCCAUCAUGCUGCUCAUCAUCUUGUCCCUCCCACUUCUUCCUUCCAGAUCAGGUGAAAAGAACCAGAACCUAUUUCAGUUCAAAUAAUUUACAGGCAGAGUAUACCACUACCAUAAAGACUGGAGAAAAGGGAAAUGCUUCUUUUAUAUUUCAUGGGAAGAUCUUGCUUUUGUUUCAUUUUUAAUUGUUUUUUUCUCUUUCCACUCUUUUGGCAGUUGGGUCAGAGUCUUCGGAAGAUGGUGAGAGUUUGAAGCAAAUGAAAAUGGUGCUGGGAUCAAGGCCCCCCAGGUGUGUCAACAGGUGCUUGAGUUGCACACCUUGCACAGCAGCUCUAGUCAUUCCUCCCCCCCAUAAAAAUGGGCUCGAGGCAUUCGCUCAGGAAGAUGAGAGCUAUUACCUCCUCUCUUGGAAAUGCAAAUGUGGAAACAAGUUAUUUCAACCUUGAAAACCAUUCAUACACCCUAAGCUGAGGAUAUUCCCAUGUACAUAAUGAGAUAAGAGGUAGCUAGUGUGCUGCAGAUAACUGUUGAGCUUCUUCAUGGUUUGGACUCACAAACUCUUCCAUGUUAACCAGCUCUCUCUUGUCUUGAAUUUUGAUUUAUCUGCUUUCAUCACUGAUUUGGCCCUCACUUAUCUCUUGCUUUCUUUUAUUUCUGUACGUAUAGAAUUACAAGAGAAAAGAUAAGUGAAGAUGGCAUGCUUUUGAAAAUGAAUUUUAUAGUCAAGAACUAGUUUACCCCUCAACUUAUUAAUCGCCUUUGAACUCAUUGGGCCAUUGAAUCAUAAGACUAUACUUAGCAUUCAUUUACAUCUGAAGUACUCAAGGGUGAAGCCAAGAACCUCAUAGUUAGGGUUAUGAACGUGACUUUCUUGUCAUUUUCCGCCCAGUCCACCUUGGUGACAAAGGGACUUCAGGGUGAUGUUUACUUCUUUAUUGAAUUUUGAAAAAGUUGAUAACACAGUGUCACAAUAACUAUUGAAGCUAUUUCAGCUCCAAGAAAGUGUAGGUUUUCCUCAUAGCAUAAUUCACGAAUCUGCAACAGUGAUUGACACGUUUACCAAACAUAUAGGACAGUAUGUCGGAAAUUUUCUUUCAGUACCUUUUUCUCUCUGUAUAUAUACUUCCAACUUCACUUGAAUGAAUUUAUUGUAACAUCAUAAAAAUGUUAAACCAUGGGAAGGAAAGACAGCAUGGUUGCGCAAACCCGAGAGCAACCAUACAAGCAGAAAAAUAUAGUUCGGAACCUGGAGGCCAGGCCAUGAAGAGUGUGUAGUCGCAAUAUAAGAGGAAUAGGCAACAGGAACACUAUGAUAUUUCACAGUUAUUCACUAAUAACUUAUACAAGUGAGCAUAUGUACCAUCUCAUCCACAACAUUCUUCACUACACUGAGAAUUAUGUGAUUUUCCGAUACAUACAACCUCUAACCAAACUAUUAAUGGUAACAUACCUACCAUCAUUGCUAGCCACAAGGCAAACUUAUAAAAUAUUUGGUGCACUCAAGAGUUUUACCAUAUAAUGACAUUGAAAUUUCAUAUCUCGAGAAAAAGACCGAGAUCUAUAAUCAACAAAACAUAUGUAGACUACACAGGAAGUCGCUUCUGGGAGCAGUAGCUUGUCCAAGCAUGUCCGCUUACUGAAUUGCAUCACACCCACAGAACUGGAUCAGCAAGUCAUUGUUCUUAGAAGACUGGAAUUUGUCAUAGCCUCUUUUGGUUUCCAGAUGAUAUGCUCAAGUUUAGCACAGAAAUUCUUGUAAAACUGAAAAUGGGAACCAUAGAGAGACGUUAGCUAUAGUUGCUAUUGCCAGACACCAAAAUGCAUACUUGGUUUCAAACAAAUACGGGGAUGCCUAGCCUGUGGACUCAGCUCUAGGAUCAGAGAUACUCAUGAAUUAUAGCCAAUUGUCGAAGUGAACAAUACUGACCACAGAAAGAAAAAUUUUUGGAAGAUGGCUAGAGGUAGAUAUGUUAGAAUAGGCAGUCAACAAAUAAGAAAUGGGCAUGGCUAGAGGUAAAUAUGUUAGAAUAGGCAGGCACCAAAUAAAAAAUGGGCUUUUCCUGAAAUGAGGAUGUUGAGAUGAAUCAGCAGUUUUCUAGAACAAGUCCAAGGCCCUUGGGCUCAGAAUUAUUCACCAAUUCAUUGAACUUUCCAGAGUUGAAUACUAUUGAUUGGCUAAUAAGUAAAGCUGAAUUGUGAGUAAAAUAAGACCUGCAUCCAAGCACUAUCCACUAGUGAAGAUUGAAUUUUCAGUUACCCCAUGAACCAUUAUAUCCAGAACCAUUAUUUUUUUGAACCUUCAUGGUCUACUCUGGUAGCUGUGCAUGUUCAAUUGGAGGCAAGCUCUGAAGCCAAAUGAAAGUUAACAAAAGUCAGUACAAGCAAACCUUGUGAUAUUCAAGUGUAUCCCCAGCAGCCUUUCUAACAUCCACCAUGAAAAGGGAUGGUGCAACUUCAAAAACCUAACAACAGAAAAAAUAAAGAUGGAACCUUUGUUAGAAACAAUCCUACACCAGAAAUCAGGCCUCUUUAUAAAGAACAACAGGAACAAUGUUGCAGGAAAAAUAUCUAGAAAGUUACCUCUAGGACAACUGCAAAUUGUGCAGUCUUAUUUGCAGAUAUUCCCUCGAGUCUUGUCUGAAUGGAAAUAAUAAUAGAAAGAAUUACAAAACAUAGACUUCGAAAGGAAGUAAAUGAAAAACAGAUUAGCAUACAUGUUCUUUUGUACAUGGGAUAGUUCUCUUGCACUAUCCAAGACAUAAUAAUGCAAUGAACAAUUACCAGCCUGACCCCCUAUAUUAGUUUCAUAUGUAGAGAAGAUUUGAUACCCAAAAACAAUUUAUAUGUAAGUGAAAAAUAGAAUAGGCGUACAUGCCCCUUUGUACUUUGGAUAUUUCUCUUGCACUAAUAGAAAACAACAUGAGAACUUAAAAUAACACAAACAAGAAGAAUAGCAAACUGAAAGACCAUAGUGCAAGGCAUGGGGCAAGAUGAAGCUAUUCCGACAGUUCAUAAUAAUGCCAAAAGGAAACAUGCAUGAAAAUGGACUUGAAAAGAUACAGAUGCAGUUUCAGAGCUGGUGCAGGAUUAGUGCGUAAAUUUCAUCAAAUUUGGAAUGCAAUACAGGCUCCUAGUUAAUAUUAAAACAUUUUUAUUGGCUGUUCUUAUAAUAUCAUCAAUUUCUCCUUUGUUGAAUUUAUUGAAUUCUACUGCAGUUCAAAUAAUUUAAAUGAAAUUAUCAAGUUGUUGAAAAUGGAGAACAUAUGCCAUCUUUAACCAAAUUCAAGAUGCACUAUCGUGAAAAGAACAAGUUAAUGUGACGAAGGUAAGUUUUAGGAGAUUACCUUGUAGUGGCGUGUAUGGACCUUGAAAUUCAUAGAUUCUGCCACAGCUUCAAUAGUAGAAAUUAUAACUUUUGCUGGUUCGCGGGAAACAAAACGAGUUUGCCGUUUUACAUAAUCCUGCCACCAGAUCCCAAAUAAUUAGAAUGCAUGAUAGCUAGACAAAGAAGAAUGUCAAUGGUUAAGGACUCCAUUAUCAAACAACAUACUAACUAGCCUACUUUAGUGUGUGAAAAAAGCAUUAGCAAAGGUGGAUAUCAUACACCAUUGUUCAGUUAAGCUUUUUGAAGCUACUACUAUCCACGAGACCAGUAUUUUUUUAAUCUUUUGGGAAAACAUAAAAGCAAGUGUUGCCAUAGUGUUGACGGUGGGGAGGUUAGCAUCUUGAAGCAAUAGCAGCGACACAGAGUGGUUAUGGUGGUGUGAACUGGUGGCAUUGAUAGAGAUCACAGUAAUGGGACUCCGUGGGAACGGGGGAUGAUGAGAGUGGUUGAGGUGAUGAAGCGUUUGUGUUGAAGAUGAUGUUUAUGGUUUCACCAUAGCAACUUCAAUAGUAUCUGCUGUGAUGUUGAUGGUGCUAAUGGCAUAGUAAUGACCAUAACAUAUCUAGGGUGGUUGUGGCCAAUGCUGUAAGAGCAAAGGUGGCAGCAUGGUGAUGACCAUAGUUGUCACCUGGUAAAACUUAUCGUGUAUCGUUUUCAUAUUUUUCUAUAUCGAGUAUCGUAAGUUUUUUUAUAUAGUGAAAAAUAAAUAGAAAAUAUAUGUAUGUGUGAAUAUCUAUUGAAAUUAUGGAUUAUAGAGUGAUAUAUAACCAAUUUUAUGGAAAAUAGUAAAAUCUAAAGAGUUAAACUAUAUCAUAUCAUAUGAAAACAUUAAAUAUUAAAGUUUUGACAGUUCAAAUUAACAAAAUAUAACUUUAAUAUAUAGAUUCAUCACAUAAUUCACAAGAAUAAACUUCUUCAAUUUUUAGUUAUGAUUUUUAGUUCCAAAUUCUAACUAGGCAUAUGUUAUUGUGUUGUUAUACAUACAUACAUACAUAUAUAUAUAUAUAUAUAUAAAAGGCAUCUUCAAAUUUCUAGCUUUUUAGGUUCAUCAUCAUUCAUUUUCCACUAAAAAAUAAAUUAAAAAAAACUAAUAUAUUAAUUAAAAAAUAUAUAUUCAUUAAUCACCAUUAUUUUCAUUAUCAACAUUCAAACCAUUUAAAUGAAAACUUCGAAUAUUCAUUGUAAAGAUAAACUUACUUUACUUCAAAUAUAGCAUUUGACAACAAAAAUAUAGCUUUUCAUAUAAGAUUAUUUUACUUAUUUUCCCUUUUUGUAAUCAAUUUUUAAUCUUUUAGUAUAUCUUAAACAAUUAACAUAAUAAAUUCUUUUAACAAAAUAAAUAAAUAAUUUUAUUUUUUAAAAAAAUUAUAGAAAAUAGUUGAUGAUGUAUGUAUUGUUGUAUCGUAAUAUCACGUAUUGUAUCAUGUAUCAUGUAUGUUUUGUAAGAUAUAUUUUAAAAUAAGAUACAAAUUGCGAUACGUAUUGAUUUCCAUAAAAAAUGUAUCUUAUCAUGUAUCAUAAGUUUUUAACAACUAUGUUGAUGACUCUAUAUGGAGGAAAACCAAAAUUUGUAAUAAUCACCUAACCAAAAUUUGUAAUGAUCACCUUUCUUCAAUAUCUUGCUUUUUGAUUCCAAAUGCAAGAACUGAUCUUCUAAUAUGCCAUCCAAACAGUGCCUAGAUUAACAUCACCAUUUGAAUAGAAGCCAUACUAGAGAUCAACAAAGUUCAUAUUUCUUUCGAUAAGUGACAUGGUUCACAUUAGGUCAAAAUGAUAAGCUUUUCCAUACUUCCAGCAUAACAAGGUAGAAAGAGCUCAGCGCUAUAACUUCUAAAUUAUUGAAAGCGUCAGUAGUAGCUAUAAUAACAAUCAAGUUUAUGGACUCCAUAACACACGCUCUGACACAUGAGUCACAAUCUUUGUCACUACUAUAAUAUGUAGCAUAUAAAAUAAUACAACACAAUUCAUCUAGUUGGAAUCACCAGUUACCUGAAAGCAUGCAAAAUUUGUGAAAACAUGAAAUUCCAACAUCCAGAUCUAGACAAUACAACAACCAAACCUUAACAUGAACACUUCCUAUCUCUUAGACUUUUAGCCUGACUUUUAAUGGGAUUCUUCAUAGCAAGAUAAAAAAUUCAAUUGCCUGUUUGAUUGCAUGGAUGGAUGAAAAGAAAAGUGAAUCUGGAGCAAAGAACAACAGUUUUGACCCAACUAGUAGGCUUCCGCAUUUUCAUGUAUUUUCUCCAUUGUCUAAGAAACCAAAAAACCAUAAAAGUUUAAACCCAGUUAUUAGAAGGAGCCCAAUGAAUUCGUAAUCUACUAUUUCUCCAACUUUCACUUUUUUUAAAACAAAAAAUAAGGAGUUUCAAGAUCAUGCUAAUUUUCCCCAUUUUUAUUUCCUUACUAUUUUUUCAUCACAACCAAACAAUAAGAAUUGAUAUUUCUUUGUUUUCCUUAUUUUUCCUUCUGCAAUCCAAACAGCACCCAGGGAAAAAAAAAGUUUAGGAAUAAAUAUUGAGAGAGCUUCACAUAGGAAAGCUCAAAAUUUACCCAGCAGUGAAAAUUGCUCGUGGAUUUCAUAAGCUCCAUGCUUUUCCCACCAAAAAGAGCAUAAGAGACAAGGAAGAUAAAGAAAGAAAGGCAAAAAGUCCUUGAUAUAUUUAUUUCUUACUUCAAGUUCUCAAAUGAUCAAAUAUAAUGCAUCAUAAUUGCUAUUCAUCAAAUAAAUUAAAAAAAAAAAUUAUAACUUCAACCCUAAGUGAAUUAUCAUAUUGCCUAAUUACUAAAAAAUCCAAAUUAUAAAUAAGUUGUUGAAAUUACUAAAAAUAAAUAAAAAUUUAAAAAUCACUAUUUAUUUAGUUUUUUUUUUUUUUUUUUUUUUUGGGGGGGGGGGGGGGUGUUGCGGGGGUGCACUUCUUGGGUUUGAAAUAAGAAAUCUAAAUGAUAGACAACCAUCAUAUAUCUUGAAGAGGCUCUUCCAAGAAGGUAGAAAUAGCGCAAAACAAAACAAAAAGGAAAAAGAAAAAAGGAAGGCAGAAAGUUAUGGUGCUGUAUUCUCAUUUAAAAAGAAAAAAUUAUGGUGCUUUGAAGCUGACCAUAAAAUGCUUGGCCAUGAAUCUCCACUACUUUUCCUGUUAGUACCAAACUAUUUCAUCUGCAAACCACCUGUUUUAUUAUACUCUCUGUGUUUUCAAUAAACACGUGUUUGGACAGCAAAGCUUUACCCAAGAUUAAGUAUGAAAUGCUAAAAGUAGCAACAGGUCAGCUGCUAAAGUAAAAUCAGCUCCAAACCAUCACUUAAAAAUAUAAAAAGAUUUGUGUUAAUCAAUGUAAAUAAGAAGAGACACAAUUGUAAAUAAAUUAAGUGCAGUCAAACUUGAAUCACGCUGGAAUAUAAAGAAAUAUAAUGGAGUGCAAAAAUCCUAAAAUAAUAUCACUGUACCUGUCGUCUGUCAAAAAGUGCUGAUAGAUUCAACCCUUGGGAUAGGGUAAUCAUCUCAAAUGCAUUCAUUAUCAAAGGACCUGUGUCAUUAUUUCCUGACUGCUCAGAUACGUAAUUUUCCUGCAAAACAACAAUUAUUAAGUAUAAUAAACCAAAUGAAACUUAGAUGAAUAUGGAUGUGCAGGGAAUUGAGUACCAGAAGAUCAUCAGUUCAGGUUUCAUAUAUUGAACUCCAAACUCACGGGAUGAUAAUUUCAAAAAUCAAAGUUUAAAAACCAUUGAACUCACAAAAUUAGCCUGAAAAAGUCUCUAGUUUGAUACCAAAUUUAUAAAAGUAAAAAAGGCUAACCUCAAUAUCAUCAAAAACCGCAUGAAUAUCAUCCAAAUUCACUUCUUCAUCUUCUCUACAUUUGCUAGACACGUAGUUCUUUCGAAACCAUGGAUCAUUUUUUAUCCCUUCAAUCCGAAUACGCUGCAUUAAUGUUGGAACCAAUUACAGAAAGUGGAGGAGAAGCAAAAAUAAAAAUGAUCAUAUUGUUUGCAAUUUAAAUGUUAUGUAAACUAAACAUUGUUGUGGUGGGGUCUUUGUGUUGUACCCUCGUACAUGUGUAGAGCUCAAUCACCCCAGAAGACUGACCACCAUAACUCAACUAGAUUUCAUUGGGAUUUCCUGACAUUGAUUGUUUUUAGGUAAGAUCUGAGACCAAAAGGGAGUGGGGGAGAGGAAGGAAUUUUUACAGACUCUGUCAUUUGGACUCUUUAAAGCUAUCUUUAUAAAAUCAUAAUCCUUAAACAUGCUAUUGAUCUGACUACCCAAGUGAAUUAGAAAAACUAUAACUAGACCUCCUAUUCUUUUCAUUCUCAUGCACAAUGUGACACUAUUACAACUAGAUUACUUAACAUAUAUAUGACAAUACCCGAGUUCAAUAUUUCACAAAAAAACAGUGGCAAUAUUCUUGAAAUAGAAGAUCAAUAUCUAGACCUCCUUAAGCCCAUUUGGGAUUGAUUAUAGACUCCUUAGAAUCACUUUUCUAAUAAUUUUUUCUCACUAAUGUGUUUAGUAAAGUCAAAGAAACAUUAUUCUCAAAGAAUCUCACCCACUUUGGUAGCUAUUUAAGAAGCAAGUCAAAGAUAGCUUGUCAAGAGUGAUUUUCCAAGAAAAGGAUAUCUUCUUGGAUGAUAUUUUAAAUUAUCCAAUACUUCAUCAAACAAUUUUUACAUACCAACUUUGGACUUAAGAUGAAUAUUAGAAACUAAUUAAUAAGUUAUUUUUAUUUUUUUUAAUAACAAUAAUAUUAUUUAAUAUUAUACAUAAUAAAUAAAUUUUAUAUUAUGUUAUUAAUAUUGUAUAUACAAUUAUAUUAUAACUUCUAUAUAUGUAGAUUAAAUAUAUUUUAUAUUAUUAAAUAUUUGAUUAAACUUUAUUAUAUAGAAUUGUAUAAACUUAAAUUAUAUUUUUUUUUUUAUCUUUCAAAUAAUUUAAUUUUUUGAAUCAAAUUUUUUUUAUAUUUGAAAAUAAUUAGUGAUUGUCCAAAAUCACAAUAAAUGGAUCAUUUAAGAAAUAAUAUUAUUUUAACUUUAAUGAGUACAUGAGAUUGAAUGUUAGUUGAAACUCUUAAAUUGUUGAUGUGUAAUAUUUGUUGGAAUUUAUAUUUGAUUCUAUUCAUCCUAAAAUGUAAAAAGAAAAAGGAAAAAAAAACUAUUAUUAUAAAUAUGUUUACUUGACUUCAAUUAAAAUAGAAAAAUGAAAUUAAAUAUUUUGAAAAUAAAUGAAAAUAUCAAUAAUUGGUUUUUAAAUGGUACAAUGGCGCACACGCGCACCGACACACACACACAUAUAAGAAUAAAGGAAAUUGAUUAAAUUUUUAACAUCCCUUUAGUUAUCAUAAAUGUCAUAGCAGUCUACACAAUUAUCAAAACACUUCAAUGUUAUUUUUGAAAGUCACAACACUUCUGCAACCAUAGUUUACCAAAGGCCCAACAGUUAUACAUCACAGCUGACUUAUCUUUCACAAUAGCUAAAAGUGAUUUUUCUUAAAGCUGCAGCAAUACCAAACUGACACUUGAUAUGUGAACUUCAAAAUACUGAAUAUGAAUAUGUUAAGAGACCAUAACAUUGAACAUUCUGAACAGUUCAUUUCUAUACAUAUACACACAAGAGACCUUCUUAUUUUUUUAUUUGUUAACUUAUUAUUUUCCCCUAAAGUUCCAAUCCUUUAAGUUCAAAGCAGAGGAGAUGAUAUUAAUUUCAAGAAAUAUCAUUAUUUUUAUAUGUCUUGGUAUGAUGGUCAUCAAUUACAAUAGAAAAGUUUGUAAUAUAUUUAUAGGGACUAGGAAAUGAAUAUUAUUUAGAAACUAAAACAGAAAAAAAACUUUCUUAAUAUAACACGAAGACUAGUAAAAAAAAUAUACUUGCUAAAAGGUAAAUCACCAUUCUGCCUUUACAGCGACAACCUUGAAUUUGCAUCCUACACCCUCAUUCAUUGCAAAGAAACUUCUGAUGUGUGGUUUAAAGUGUUUUCAUUAUUUAGCAUGUCUUGGGUGAUUCCUCAUCAUGCUGCCUUUACAAUAAGGACCUUGAAUUUACAUCCCACACCCUCAUUCAUCAUGCGUGUGCAAGCUCGCACACAAAUACUAUCUAAUAGAUGCUUAGGGACCAAAAUCAACCUCAAAACGAAAUGAAUUGAGUCAGUCAACCUGUCAAGCAGCCAUUAACACUUGAUAUAUUUCCCAAGUAAUACAAAUGCAUAUGAAGAGCCUACACCCAUCUCAAUAUUUAUGUAUCUUCUAUAAUUUGUAUAUGGUGAAAUGAGAAAUGUUUUGUAUACUCACAGUUUUCGGAUUGGAAUCAAGUAUCCUACAUAGUAACGACUUUGAUCCAGAAGAAAACCAAAAUGGACAGGAAAACUCUGCAGCAUUGAUCUGCAAACAAAGCAGAGUACACGUUAGAAGUUUCCUAAUGAUGCUUGCUCCACCCAGUGGGGGAUCCAGGAAUUUGCUCCAAAGGGAAAUCUUUGAUGACAGUAAGUAAAUACAAAAAUAUUGAUUGAGAAUAUUUUGAUUCAAUAAAUUUACUGCCAUUAUGAUAUGUUUUUACUGUCAUUGUCAAUGUCAUCAAACAUUUCUUGAUGAGUAAAUAAGAGAAAGAGAAAGAGAAAAGUGAGGAACAAAUCCACCCUAACAACUCAGAAAACCAAAUCCAUCCCCAGCCGCCUCACCAGCCCCCACAUCUCUCAACACCCCAAAACAACCCUUUUCUAGGUCUAAAAAAACAAUUGAGCCAACAUCUGAAACCCAAAAAAUCCUCGCGCAAUGAGAUCUGUGACCUCGCUGCUCCUCCCCCUGCCCCUAACUAACAGAGGAGAGCUUUUGUAAUUAACUGAACACUCCAAUUUUCAGAUCUCCCUCUCAAAACAGGAAGUUGGGUUUAGCUUCCUUUUUACCCUGAGACAGUGACACCACACCCCCUCCUUGUCUCCAUCUUCCUCAAAAGGGAGAAAAUCUCCUUUUCAUAUCCCUUGACCAGCGUCACCACAUGGCUACUGAAAUUAGCCAACUUAGAAAAGAGACCAUUGGAAGGAACCUUCUCCCCUACCAGCCAGUUGAAGGACUUCAAUUCUGAAAACCCUGCUCCUUAGACCUGACCGCCAAAUAUGUUUGUAUCAAUAUAUAGAAUCUAUCCUUCAUCUAUUGAUCUCCCAUUUGAUUGCAUAAUUAAUUAAAGAAAAUAUUUAAUUUCAUAAAACUUUAGAAAAUCUUUGUUAUACAAAUAAUAAUAAUAAUAAACAUAAUAAUAAUAAUAAGAGAAUUAACAGGUGAUAAAAAAUUUCAGCGAGAAAUUUUAGAAACUUUUAAUACAAAAAAAAAAAACCCUAAAAAAACAUUGAUUAGUUGUUACGCCUAUAAAAAAAAUUGGUUAUCCAACAAGAAAUUUCAGACAUUUUUUUAUUAAAAAAAAUUGAGGAUGACAAUGAAAUCAUAAAAAGUGGUAUAAGUGAGGCUCUUUCUUUUCAAACUAAUGUGUUUUAGUGAGUUUGGAGGUUUUUAACACAAUGGAGUUUUAAUUUGAGUGAGCUACUGGCCAAUAUAGAUGGAGUACUUAUGUCAGCAUUUUGUUUUUUGAACAAAUUAAUUGAAUAUAUGCUUUUAUAUCAACACACAAUAAAACUUCAGCCAUUCAAACAUUGUUCAGGGUCAAAGCCCCAUGCAUCACUAGGGAAACCCUCAUUUUUUAGGUCUUGUUUUCAGAGAGGCAGCUAGCAAUUUUUGAAGGAGUUUUUAUGGUAUUUAUUCUUUUUUUUUCUUGGGGUGGGGAGGGGUGCACGGUCAAGUCUGCUGAUCAAAUGUUCCACAGUACAUAUUUAUGCUACUGAGAAGGGUUUCACACUUCAGGCUGUGCCCAACAAGUUAACCAUCAAACGGUCAUAGGUAUCUGUGGAAACGAACGAUUUUUCAUUCAUGCAUUUCAGACAAAAUAAUGCAGUAUUUAUAGUAUACAAUCCUACAAAAUUAAGAAACUAAAUUACAAAAAAUCAAGUCAUUAGCUAUUUCCUAAAAAUCCUCUACCUUACAAAUCAAGAAAAAGAAAUAUGAAGAAUGAUUUUUCAUUCAUGCAUUUCUGACAAAAUAAUAUAGAAUUUUUAGUAUACAAUCCUGCAAAAUUAAGAAACUAAAUUGCCCAAAAUCAAGACGUUGGCUAAUUCCUAAAAAUUCUCUACCCUACAAAUCAUGAAAAUAAAACAGGGAAGUAUACAACUAUACAAUUUCAAAAAUUAGGGAAUUAAUUCUAUACAAUUAUACAAUCUCAAAAAUUAGAGAAUGUUGUCAACACUACCCCUUAAGCUAGUUAGUGGAUAUUAAUCUCUUCCAACUUACUAGUUAUCCUUUGAAUUAGUGGAUAUUAUUCUUUUCCAACUUACUAGUUAUCCUUAGAAAUGAGUUACUCAAUAGACCCUUUAUUAGGAUAUCAACAAAUUGUACAUCUAUUGAAACAUAAGGAGUAUAGAUCAGUCUACAAUAGCUUCUCUACAAUAAAGCAUCAACCCACUUCAACAUGUUUUGUACAAUCAUGUUGAAUUGGAUUAUGAGCAAUACUGAUUGCUAGUUUAUUAUUGUAGUAUAGCUUCUUAGUCCUCUUCUACUUCACUUCUAGAUCACUAAGAAUUAUUUUGAGCCCAAGUAGUUCACAAAUUCCUCAUGCCAUGACUUUCUACUUCUGCACUGAACCUGACAACUACAAUUUGUUUCUUAUUUUGCAAUGUCACCAAACUUCCUCUAAAAAUAGUACAAUGCCCAAAAGUUGAUAUGCAAUCUACAGUUAAUCCUCUCAAUCUACAUCAAUGUAGCCUUACAAACUUCUCUUCACUUUUCUUGGAGAGUAUUCCCUUACCUGAAAUGGAAUUUAAGUAUCACAAAAUUUGUGUGCAGCCUGUAAGUGAGCCUCUUCAAGAGAGCGUAUGAAAUGGCUACUACAAUCACAACAUUGGUUAUACCAGGCCUCAUGUGAGACAAAUAAAUGAGUUUCACAACUAGCCUCUAGCAACUUUCCCUGUUUAUGGUUGUGUUUUCAGAUGUUUCUCCAAACUCAUGAUUUGUUCUGUUGAGAGAGAGAGAAAGAAGAAAGACCUUAAUUCUCAUUCAUGUCAUAUCUACUUACAAUUGAGAAAUAUAUAUAUAUACAAGGCUAGGAGUCCUAACUACCAUACAUGUGACCUAUAUUAACAAGGAAAUAUUAUACACUAUAAAUACAUUAUAUUCAACACUCCCCCUCAAGCUGGAGCAUAUACGUCAUAUGCACCAAGCUUGUUACAAAUAUAUUUAAUCCUAGGACCUCUGAGAGAUUUAGUGAAGAUGUCUGCUAGUUGAUCAUUUGAAUUAACAAAACUUGUAGCAACACAUCCUGAUGCGAUCUUCUCUCUAAUGAAAUGACAGUCAACUUCAAUAUGUUUGGUCUUUUCAUGAAAGACUGGAUUGGAUGCAAUAUGUAAUGCGGCCUGGUUAUCAUAGAUGAGUUUCAUCUGUUCAUUCUUUCCAAAUCUCAACUCUCAAAGAAGAUGUCUCAACCAUAUGAGUUCACAUGUUGCCAAAGUCAUAGCUCGAUACUCGGCUUCAGCGCUAGAUCUGGCCACUACAUCUUGUUUCUUACUCUUCCAAGAUAUUAGAUUACCUCCAAUAAAAACACAAUACCCUGAAGUGGAACGUCUAUCUGUGGGUGAGCCAGCCCAAUCUGCAUCUAUGUAACCAACAACCUGAGUAUGACCUCUGUUCUUGUACAACACACCUUGGCCUGGUGUACGUUUGAUAUAUCGAAGAAUGCGGAUUACGGCAUCCCAAUGGCUAUCACAUGGUGACUGUAGGAAUUGACUAACAACACUCAUAGGAAAAGAAAUGUCUGGACGAGUAAUGGUGAGAUAGUUCAAUUUACCUACGAGUCGUCGAUAUCUCCCAGGGUCUCCUAAAGGCUCCCCCUGUCCUGGUACAAGUUUGACAUUCGGAUCCAUAGGUGUGUCUAUCGGUUUACAGUCUAACAUACCAGUUUCUUCCAGGAUGUCAAAAGCAUACUUCCUUUGGGAAAGGACCACACCGGAACUGGAUUGAGUUAUCUCAAUUCCCAAGAAAUACUUAAGUUUCCCCAAGUCUUUGGUCUGAAAGUGGGUAAAAAGAUGUUGCUUUAGUUUCUGAAUACCAUCCUGAUCACUGCCUGUAAUGACGAUGUCGUCCACAUAAACAACCAGAUAAAUACACUGCCCCAAGGAGUUAUGAUGAUAGAAAACCGAAUGGUCUGCUGUACUGCGAAGCAUGCCAAACUCUUGAACAACAUAACUAAAACGGCCAAACCAUGCUCGAGGAGAUUGUUUCAGGCCAUAUAGAGAACGGCGUAACCUACACACUAAACCAGACUCCCCCUAGCAACAAAACCAGGAGGUUGCUCCAUAUAAACUUCCUCGGCAAGAUCACCAUGAAGGAAGGCAUUUUUAAUAUCCAACUGAUAAAGAGGUCAAGAACACAUAGCAGCCAUGGAGAGAAGCAAGCAGACAAAAGCAAUCUUGGCAACUGGGGAGAAUGUGUCACCAUAAUCAGAACCAUAAACCUGAGUAUAGCCUUUAACAACUAAGCGGGCCUUAAGGCGAUCAACCUGACCAUCAGGACCAACCUUAACUACAUAGAUCCAACGAUAGCCAACGGUAGAUUUACCAGAGGGUAAAACAACAAGAUCCCAAGUGCCAUUAGAGUGCAGAGCAGCCAUUUCAUCCACCAUUGCCUAUCGCCAGCCUGGAUGGGAAAGAGCUUCAUGGGUGCUCUUUGGAAGAGAAACAGAGGAUAUAGCAGAAACAAAAGCAAAAUAGGGUGAAGAUAAUCGAUGAUAACUCAAAAAAUUGUAAAUAGGAUGAGGAUUUCGAGUAGAGCGAGUACCUUUCCGAACAGCAAUGGGUAAGUCAUUAGGAGAAGGCAGAGCUGGGGCAGGUGAAGCCGAAGGGAUAGGAAGUGAGUCAGCAGGUGCCUCAGCAAAAGGGAGAGGAGCAACAACACGAGGGCGACGAUGAUAAACCUGAAGUGGUCGAGGAGGCAUAGCAUCAGGUAGGGAGACAAUGGGAAUAGGCAAGACUUCAGAAACAGGAAGAGACUCAGAAGUGGUGGAAAAGAAUGGUGAGUCCUCAAAGAAAGUGACAUCAACGGAGAUAAAGUAUCAAUGAGUCUCAAGGGAAUAACAACGAUAACCUUUCUGAAGUCUGGAGUAUCCCAAGAAGAGGCACUUCAUGGCUUUGGCGGAAAGCUUGUCCUGUCCAGGAGUGAGAAUAUGAACAAAGCAAGUACAAUCAAAGACACGAGGAGAAAGGAAAUAAAGUGGUUGGUCAGGGAAGAGAAGGGAGUGAGGAAUCUGAUCGUGUAAGACAGAGGAGGGCAUACGAUUAAUCAAAUAACAAGCAGUAAGAACAGCGUCCCCCCAAAAACGAAAAGGAACAUUACUAUGGAGGAGGAUAGUACGAGCUGUCUCAACAAGAUGUCGAUUCUUGCGUUCAGCUGCCCCAUUUUGUUGAGGAGUAUGAGCACAAGAAGACUGAUGAAGAAUCCCAUGAUGAGACAUAAACGAAGUAAAUGGGCCUAAAAAAUAUUCUCUGGCAUUGUCACUGCGUAACACACGAAUAGAAAUAUUGAACUGGGUUUGGAUUUCAGCAUAAAAUUUCUGGAAAAUAGAGAAUAACUCAGCUCGAUUUUUCAUUAAAAAUAACCAAGUACAUCGAGAAUAGUCAUCAAUGAAAGCGACAAAAUACUGAAAUCCUAAAGUAGACGCAGUCCGACAAGGACCCCAAACAUCAGUGUGGACAAGCUCAAAAGGAGACUUUGCCCGAUUAUUCAAACGCUUUGGGAACGAGACACGAGUAUGUUUCCCAAGCUGACAUGACUCACACGGAAGCGACGACAAAGUGGAAAAACGAGGGACCAUCUUCUGGAACUUGGAGAGAUUAGGGUGGCCCAGACGAUUGUGAAUAAGGAGAGGAGCAUCAGUGGAAAUGCAAACUGCAGGAGAUGAAUCCGAGGUGAGGUGAUAGAGGAGAAAAGAUCCUUAUUACCAGAUAAGUGAUCAGAAGCUCCAGAAUCUAGAAUCCAGGGUCCAAGAGGAGAUGUGUGGGUAAGGCAGGCAGAGGCAUUACCGGGCUGGGCAACAGAGGCAACAGAAGCCUGAGAUGCGGAAGAGCUCGGAGGCUGAGGCAGCGAAGAAUCAGAGGACUAGGCCACAUGGGCAGUGCGAGGAGGUCGUCCAUGUAACUGAUAGCAACGAUCGCGAGUGUGGCCAAAUUUAUUGCAAUAGGUGCAAUGAGGACCUCUACCUCGGGUACCACUGCGGCCUCCUCGAGAGCUAGUUUGAGAAACUAACACAGAAGAAUCUGAAGUGCUAUCAAAUGGCAAAGUCUGAGUGGAGGAGAUACGGAGGAGGCGAGCAAACAUAUCAUCCAAGGACAGAACUGAUGAACUACCAAGAAUCUGAUCGCGGACAGGCUCAAGAUCCGGACGGAGGCCAAUAAGAGUAAGAACCAUGAAGAACUUGUCAAGCUGUGUUUGUUGAGCCCCAACAUUAGGAGUAAGAGGCAUCACAGUCAAGAACUCCUCCUUAAGAGAGGCAAUCUGGCCAAUAUAAGUAGAUAGAUCCAAGUCCUGUUGGAUGAUAUGGACAAUAGCAGAAGCCACCUUAUAAAGACGCUGGAUAUCAUUCGUAUAUAAUCCUUUGGCCUGAGUCCAAAAUUUAAAACAAGUUUUGUAGGCCCGAAGAUGAAGAAGAAUCUUGGGAUCAACCGAUUGCUAUAAUACACUACAUAACUGUGCAUCUAUCUUCCUCCACUGUACGCGGUCAACCUCAGGGAUAUCUGCUUCCUGUGUAAUCAAGUGAUCCUCAUAUCCUUGACCCAUAAACCAAAGUUCAAUAGAGGCAGACCAGGAAAGAUAAUUGUCACUGCCAACCAAUUUCUCCGAAGUAAUCAUAGGAGAUCCAGAUAUAACAGAGGAAAAAAUGGAAGUUUUAGUAGCCAUAUCUACUUAUCUGGAGAAUGAAGUACAUUUGGAUCGAAGAGAGCCCUAAUACGGCUGUAGAUCGCGGCGUGGCACCACUGGAAAGGGAGACAGCUUCAGAUCACGGCAUGGCACCACCGGAAAGGUGGACGAACACUUCCUUAGGCACGUGCAGGGAUUAGGAUGGAGAAAAAGUAGCUGAAGCUCGCCGGAAAAACUGUUUGGAGGGUCGACGGAGGCAAAAAACCCCAAAAAAGGUACGUGCAGGGCUCGGAUGGCAGAACCAAGGAUGAAGGAAGGAUAGUCAGUGUCAAGCGAGGCUGGAGGAGGAGGCGCGUGGCCGGGAAAGUCCUCACGCGCCCUCAAGCGCCGGCGCAUGAGAUGCAGUAACCGGACGAAAAAUUGCGCGUGGCUAGCGCGUGGAUGAUCUUUUGGUUCCGGUGCCUUCACAAAAGUUGGAGAUCUCUUCCAGGCGUUCCUUCUGGUAUGGUCGGUGUCGGAAAAAGACGUCGCCGGAAAGUUUGCCGGAAAAGUUUGCCGGCGGUGAGUGUUUUCUGACGACGAUCCGACUGACCGGAAAGUAUUGGGAGAUGGGGAAGGUGACCGGAAUGAAACACGGUCACCGGAAAGUUUCCCGGAGUUGAUGACACGGGAAACUGAAAAGAAUUAGGUUUUCUCCCUUGGCUCUGAUACCAUGUUGAGAGAGAGAGAAAAAGAAGAAAGACCUUAAUUCUCAUUCAUGUCAUAUCUACUUACAAUUGAGAAAUAUAUAUAUAUACAAGGCUAGGAACUACCAUACAUGUGACCUAUAUUAACAAGGAAAGAUUAUACACUAUAAAUACAUAAUAUUCAACAUGUUCAAUAGGAGUGUCAAUAGGCUUACAUUCGAGCAUGUAAGUUUCUUUGAGAAGGUCGAGAAUAUACUUUUGUUGGGAAAUAAAAAUAUUGUUUCUUAAAUUAGCCACUUCAAUUCCUAAAAAAUAUUUGAAUUUGCCCAAGUCCUUUAUCUCAAAUUCUUUGGUCAAUAGUUUCUUCAAUAUCAUCCCUAGUCACGAUCAUAUCAUUCACAUAAACAAUUAAAGUUGUGACUUUACCAAUUGUUGACCAUUUGAUAAAUAGAGUAUGAUUCCCUUGCCUUUGUCAGAACUUCCAAUUUCCCAUAACUUAACCAAUCUUCAAAACUACACUUUAGAAGAUUGUUUUAGACCAUAUAUUGCCUUUUUUAGUCGGUAUUCUGCCUUGAAUCCAUCACUAAAACUUGGAAAUGCUUCCACAAAGACCACUUCUUCUAGGUUACCAUGCAAAGAGUUCUUAAUGUCAAACUAUUGCAAAGACCAACCAAGGUUAGCUACUAACUUCAACAAUAUUCAUUUAGUAUUCAUCUUUACUACCAAAGCAAAGGUUUCCCGAUAAUCCACUUCAUAUGUCUGAGUGUAGCCUUUGGUUACAAGUUUAGUUUUAUAUCUCUCCAAGGUUCCAUCUACCUUAUAUUAUACAGUAAAUACCUGCUUAUACAGUUAUACCCUUACUGGUUUCUUCCCUUAGAGUAAUUCAACAAAUUCCCAUGUCUUAAGUUUUUUUCAAGAGCACUCAUCACCUAACACAACUUUCCUCCAAUUCUCAUUCCUAAUUGUCUCUUGGACAAUUGAUGGAAUUUGAAUAAGAUUUAAUUGGGUAAUGAAGACUCGAUGUUGUGAGGAUAAUAUAUCAAAAGAUAUGAAGUUAGAAAUAAGGUGUAGGGUGCAUUUUCUGAUUCCUUUCCUAAAAGCUAUUAGCAAAUUUAGGUCUUCGGCUAGGAUUAGAUUCAAUACCUAUCACAGUUUUGGAUUCUUGGGUUUGCAUGGGAAUAAGGUUUGUUAGUCUUCUUAAGUAGACUUGUAGCGGCAUAGCAAUAAUGUUACCAUUUCUCUCGUCCUCAUUCUCAAGUUCAAAUGUGUCUAACCAUAGGAGUAGAUUCAAUGAUUGCUAAUGGGGAAAUAUCUAGACUACAUAUAAUAGGGGUCAUAAGAGAUAAAUUUGGCAGAUCAAGUAAGCUCAAGUUAGUCUAAUCUUUGUUUAAUGACAAGGACUCCCCCUAAAGAUUAGAAUCAGUGAAAAAGGAUUGUUUGUUCAACAAAAGUGGCAUCCAAGGAAAUGGAAACAAAAAUUCAUAGAAAUAGGAUGAUAACAUUAUACCUAUUCUUUGUUGGUGAAUGACCAAUGAAGACACAUUCAAGAGCUCAAGGAUCAAGUUUACAUCGACUUUGAGCAUGAAGAAGGACAAGGAGACACAUUCAAACGUUUUAGGUGGGAUUUUGCUAAAUCCAUGAAAAUCAAGAAAGAAUUCAAAGGGAACAUUUACUAAGGCUUUGUUUCCCAAUACCUUAGAAGGUAACCAAUUAAUGAAGCAAGAAGAUGAGAAUUUUUUCUUUCUACAACUCCAUUUUGUUGUGAAGUAUCUUUACAUGAUGACUCAUGUUUUAUUCUCUCUCUUCUAGGUAAGAAAAUAGGGUCAGGUUAAAAUAUUAUUUAAACAUCAAACUGAGUACUAAUCAUCUUGUGGAAAGUAGAGAAAGCAGAACUAACAUUAGAUUUGUUUUUUAAAAGGUAUAAUCAAGUGGCACAAAAACAAUCAUUGAUCAAAAGAACAAACUAACGAGCUCUAUUGAUAUUUAGAAUUCGAGAGGCUCCCCAAACAUUAGUAUGAAUUAAUGUAAAGAUAUUAGAUGUUCUAUUAUUGCUCAAAGGGAGAGAAACUCAAUAAUGUUUUGUCAAUUAAGAAAAUUCAUAAUAGAAGUCAUCAGCAUUCAAAUCUUGAAAUAACAGAAGAAACAUAAUCUUUAAUAACAGAAAAGAUGGAUGUCCUAAAUGUAAAUGAUGCAGCUAGAUUUGGAUUUUAUUAGAUAAAAAACCUCGAAAGAUGAGAUAAAGGUAUAUGAUCACUACCAUUGUCCCUCCCAGCAUCAAGAUAGUAAAGCCCAUCCUGUUCCCAAGCAUGACCCAUCAUCAUCCCCAUAUCAAGGUCUUGAACAACAAAGAGGGAUGAGAAAAAUGUUACUUUGAAAAUUUAGGUCUUUGGUAACUUGAUAAAUUGAUAGAAGAUUUAUUAAGAGUUUAAGAAUGUGUAGAACAGAUUUUAGGGAAAGAUAUGUGUUAAGGGUAAUAGUCCUUUAUCCAGCCACAGUAGCUAAACUACCACCAGCUACUUUGAUUUUUUGGUUUCCAUGACAUUAGCUAGAGGACAAGAAAUGAUGAGAGUUAUAGGUCAAGUAGCCAAUGGCACUAGAGUUUAUAACUCCGAAGUCUUUAAUCUCUUCCCCUUUUAGUCCCAUAAAUUCUAAGCUGUUUGAAUUCUUAUGGUUGGGUUUCUCCUUAUUCUGAUUAAUUCUAGUUUUGGUUCCCUCCAUUCCUAUUGAAGGACUACAGUUUCCCACAUAACUACUAACACAUCUCUUUUGUAUACCUUGGCUUUUUGCAAUGAGUACACCAACAGUUAUCCUUGUUACUUGAGUGCCUAGAUAUCUCUCCUCCACCAAAAAUUGUGCAAAAGGAUUGGACCACUUUGAGAGCUUGAAACAAUAAGAGUAGAACCUUCACUUACAUAUUGUCCAGCAUUACACUCCUCCAUUUUUUAACCUUUAUGAUUGAGAAUAUCUCAUUCAAGGGUGUUAAUUAUUCCUUCCCAAGUACUUGAGUAGAUACUUUUUUUUUUUUUUUUUUUGAUAGAUAAAAAAGAUGUACAUAUAGAAAAGAGGAAGCACCAAAAGCAGUGCCCUCAGAGUACACAAGGAGUAAACAAAAGAAGCCAAAAGGCUCAAACCGAAGGGGAAGGGAUAGAAACAAGAAACAUCACCUACCCUUACUUAGAGCCUAACCAAUCAAUGAAGCUUACAAGUGAAGAAGGGCUCAAAACUAUAGACACCCUAACCUAAGAUCAAAUAUUACAUACAAAAGAAUUUUUCAAUCUUUGGAGCGAAAGCUCCUUAUUACCAAACGCUAACAUAUUCCUUUCCUUCCAGAUUGUCCAAAAUAUACAUAAGGGUGUCAUUUGCCAAGCCUUUUUACGAGCUUUCCCCACAAAAGCCCCAUGCCACCCAAGAAGAGUUUCCUUCACUAAACAAGAGAGAAUCCAGGCCACACCAAAGAGGGAGAAAAGAAGAUUCUACAAAACCCAAGUCUUUGACAAUGAAGAAGAAGACGAUCCACCAUUUCUACUUCAAAAGAGGCAUAGAAAACACCUAUUUGCCAACAAGUGUCCCCUCCUUUAAAGUUGGUCCAAAGUUAAGACUUUCCCCUAAGAAGCCUCCCAAGCAAAGAAAGGCACCUUAGGAGGCACACUCACUCUCCAAAUACUACCACUAGGGAACAAAGGAGAAUCUUCGGGCUCCAAAAUAGAAUAAAGAGACUUGACCGUAAAGGUGCCACACCUCGAAGCUGUCCAAAUCACUCUAUCUUCCACCUCCCUUUGCACCCUAAAAGCUUGGAUCUUUUGCAAAAAAUGCUCCACCAACUCUACCUCCCAAUCAUUGAACACCCUUGAGAAAAGAGGGGUCCAACCACCCCCAUCACCAUCAAGGUUCCAAACAUCUGAAACCCAAGCUUCCUUAGACAAAGAAAUGGAAAAUAAAGAAGAGAAUGACUCACAAAGUGGCUCAUCUCCACACCAUUUGUCCAUCCAGAAUCUCACUCUCUGCCCAUUACCCACUUAGUAGGCCAACCUACCACUCAAAUAAAUCCACUCCUUCCUAAUUGUUUUCCACAAUCUUGAGCAGAUACUUGAUCAUAUUCCACGUUAAAUCCAGCCAAUAAUUCCAAUAUUUGCUCUUUCAAUAAACUAAAGGAACAUAGCAACAUCCACACUAGUAUUCAUUUUAAGUUUUUGGUAAUAAUCUAGUUCAAAUCACAAUCCUUUUAUAAUAUUAUAGUACUUAAUCAUGGAUAAGGUACCUUACUUUAUAAAGUGAAUAUUGGUCUUUAUCUUGUAAAUCUGAGUAGCAUCUACGACUUUGGAAUAGGUCUGUUUCACUACCUCCUAGAUUUCCUUUGUCCUGGUUAAGAACGUGCAUGUUCUGCUGAUUUUGGAUUGCAUUGUGUUCUAUAGCCAGAACAUGAUCAUUGAGUCCUCCUAAACCUAAGGAGAAGACUUGGAAUCAUCUUCACUUGAUGCUGGUCCUAUCAAGUGGUUGAGCUUGCCUUUUUCCCCUCAAAAACAUGUGCACAUGUUGCAACCAUACCAAACAGUUUUGGUCAUUAAGUUUGAAUGAGGGUUGAAAGUUCUGAUAUUUACCGAUAGGUAGUUAGUUCAAGAAGACAGUGUCUAAGUUUGGAUUCCUAAGGUUUUGUUUUCUGAGCUUUUCAACAUAGCAGGCAUUGAAGUAGACCAAACUUAAGUGCAAUUUCUGAAUUCCAAAAAAACUAUUGAAUGACAACAGUCUAGAAAUGAUCACAGUAAAGAAGGCCGCUGAGAAGAGAGGAAAAAAUACAAUGACAACAAUGAAGGUCACUUGAGGCAGAAAAUAGCAGCAAUGAAGGCCAUUAGAAGUUGGUGAUAAUGAAGACCAUUAGGAAAAAAAUAAAAGAAAACUUAGAGGCCUCGAACAAACUUUGAUACCAUGUGAAAAAAUAACAUCCAUGCAUUUCUGACAAAAUAAUAAAGUAUUUAUAGUAUACAAUCCUACAAAAUUUGGAAACUAAAUUACACAAAAUCAGGAAAUUGACCGAUUUCUAGAGAUUGUCUACUCCACAAAUGAGGAAAAUAAAACAGGAAAGCAUCCAACUACAAAAUCUUGAAAAUUAAGGAAUUAAUUCCAUACAAGUAUACGAUCUCAAAAAUCAUGGAAAAUUAAUUCCCUGUUAUGUUUAAUCAGAUCAUCAAGAGUAUUAGUGUAAGACACGGUAUAGCAUUUUUGGCAAAGUAACCUCCAACGAUCAGGAAUAGAAUGCAAUUAUGCCACAAUAUGGAGGCCCCUGUCUAACAGAUAAAAGGUGUGUCUAAUUCAAGAGGAAAUAAAAAGACAAAAAGUGUGUCCUUGCUACACAAAUGCCUUUGCACAAGUUAUUACUACUUAAUGCAAAACAGAUCAACUUAAGCAUGAAUAUUUUGUAGAUUUUCAAGUAUCAAACGUCAUUACAUCAGUAGGUUUAAAAGAUCCCUGAGCUAUCCAACAGUCCAGUGAAAACAAAUUAUGGCAGUUUACCUUUUUGUACAAGCUUGGAAGGUCUAUCUCAUUAAAUGGAAGAUAUCCUGCCAUUAGAACAUAGAGAAUGACUCCACAUGACCACACAUCAGCAGCUGCACCGUCAUAACCUUGGUUACUAAGCACCUAAACAGCAAGGAUUUAAUGUAAGAAAUUAUAUAACAUUAGAAACUCAGAAUAUGGUCUUUAUUCAUCUCAUAGGAGACAAUUAAGAGAAAUUUUUAUUCAUGAUUAAGUUCGCUAAAGCUUAAUAAACACCCAACUUGCAAAAAGUUAGGGAUGGUUACAAGUAAGUUAUAAAGCCUCCCAAGUGAUCAUAAUACACAAAAGAUCAAAAGUUCAGUACCAUGAUUAUCAUUCUUUUUAUAGGUAAAUUUUUGUCCAAAACUUGAACCUGGAACCACCCACAAACCCUGCCCAACCGUUUACCACUUGAGUCAAGCCUCAAUGGUUGUACCAUACUUAUCAUUAUUUAGUAAAUCUAAAGGAGAAGAGACAUAAAUUACUGAUAUAAUACAAAUGACAAGGGUUAGAAAAAAGAAAGAAAAGGAAUAAAAGAUGAAAUUAUUCCCAUAGAAGGAAAGGUAAAUCCAAAAGAGUGUAGAAUAUAUGUGAAUUCAAGGAAGACAUCAGGAGAAACUUCUCCACUACGCUUCUUAUGCUCAAUCAGGAAUCCAAACAGUCUGUUCCCUUUUCCCAUUCCCACACCUCACCAACCCCACCACACCCUAAAAUGGGUUAAGGGGGAAAAAGGGAGAAAAAGAGGAAAUAAAAAAAAGAAAUAAAGUGCAAAUGCAGCAAGAACACUAAUUUCAGUGUUGAAAAUAUCUCAGAUAUAUGAAUUAAGUAGCAUGACUUUUGUCCCCUUAUUGGACAAUGAUAUAUAUUCAACUUUUAACGAAAAGGGAGAGAAAAUUGACAGAGGAGGAAACAGUCUGUAAAAAGGAAGCCAAGGAGAGAUAAGCUAAGUGGGUGUCCAUGGAAGAAACCCAUUGGAGACAGCUUCAAGGGAGUUAUGGCUAAGGGGAUAGAAAUACGAGCUAUAUUUCCAUCGUAUGGCAACUGCUCAUCGAAAAGUUAAUUCCCUGGACAGAAUCAAGAUAAAUGGGGUGUGGUUAUCAGAGGAGCAAGAAGUGAGGGAAGGGAUAGCGAACGCCUUUCAGCAACUACUCUCAGAAAGUUCAGAUUGGAAGGCGGACAUAGGGAGACUACAGUUAAAGUAGAUCAGCCAGCAAGAAGCGGAAUUUCUAGAGCUCAUUUUUUCUGAGACUGAGGUCCAUGCUGCUUUAAUGGAUAUGAAUGGGGACAAAACCCCAGGACCGGACGACUUCACUGUGGCUAUUUGGCAAAGCUGUUGGGAUUUCGUAAAGGAGGAGAUAUUGGAUAUUUUUAAGGAGUUCCAUGAGCAGAAUUCUUUCCUCAAGAGCCUUAACAAUACGUUUCUGGUCUUGUUACUGAAGAGAGGGGGGGCUGAGGACCUUGGGGAUUAUAGACCCAUCAGCCUGGUAGGGGGGCUGUAUAAAUUGUUGGCUAAGGUGCUAGCCAAUAGACUCAAGAAAGUGAUAGGAAAAGUGGUUUCCCCCGAUCAGAAUGCGUUUGUCAUGGGAAGACAGAAUCUAGAUGCCUCUUUAAUUGCAAAUGAGGUGAUUAAUUCAUAGCAAAAAAAGGGAGAGAAAUGCCUAAUUUGCAAAUUGGAUAUCGAGAAGGCAUAUGACAGCAUUAACUGGCAGUUUUUGCUGAAGGUUUUUCAAAAAAUGAGGUUUGGGCCAAAGUGGUUGGGAUGGAUGUGGAGUUGUAUAUCCACAGCCAAGUUUUCAGUCUUGGUAAACGGAGUGUCAACCAGGUUUUUUCCAAGUUCUAAGGGGCUGCGCCAAGGGGAUUAUCUUUCCCCCCACCUAUUUGUCAUGGGAAUGGAAGUGCUAAGUGUUCUAAUUAGGAGGCCUGUUGAAGGGGGUUUUAUCUCUGGGUGUAGCAUCCGGCGAGGUAAAAGACAAGCUGUCAACAUUUCACACUUACUCUUUGCUAAUGAUACAAUCAUUUUUUGUGAGGCAAAAAAAGAGCACUUAACGCAUUUGAACUGGAUUCUUUUUUGGUUUGAAGCUGCUUCAGGGUUAAGGAUUAAUUUGGCCAAAAGUGAAAUUAUACCGAUUGGAGAGGUGGAAGAGGUGGACGAGAUGGCAAUGGAACUAGGGUGUAGGGUGGGACAGUUGCUUGCAGUCUACUUGGGGCUGCCAUUGGGGGCGCCUAAUAAGGCCUCUUCCGUGUGGGAUGGGGUAGAAGAGAAAGUGAGGAGGAGACUUGUCCUUUGGAAACGUCAAUAUAUAUCCAAAGGUGGGAGAAUUACACUUAUAAAGACCACAAUGGCUAGUAUGCCCUUGUAUCAAAUGUCCCUUUUCCGCAUGCCAAAGACAGUGGCAAGAAGGUUAGAAAAGUUGCAUAGAGAUUUUUUGUGGGAAGGGGGUAAUCUGGAAAAGAAAGCCCACUUAGUCAAUUGGGAGGUGGUUUGUGCAGAUAAAGAAAAUGGGGGGCUUGGCUUAAGAAAGCUAGCCCUCUUGAACAAAGUCUUGCUUGGAAAAUGGAUAUGGAGAUUUGCUUAUGUUGAGAAGGAUCUUUGGAAGCAGGUGUUUGUGGCGAAGUAUGGGUAAGAGGAUCUUGGUUGGAGGACAAAGAAGGCAAAUGGGGCGUUUGGAGUAGGGAUUUGGAAGGAGAUCUUGAAGGAAUCUGUUUGGUUCUGGGAAAAUAUGGCGUUUAAAGUGGGAAAAGGCACCAAAAUCAUAUUCUGGACUGAUCUUUGGUGUGGGUGUACAAUGUUGUCCCAAAGAUUCCCGCAUCUUUAUGCUAUGGCUGUUCAUAAGAAUGCCACAGUGGAAAAGAUGUGAGACCAGAAUUUCGGCCAAGGCGGCUGGAAUUUAAGGUUUCUUAGGGACUUUAAUGAUUGAGAAUUGGAUAUGGUAGACAAUUUGCUUUUUGUUUUGAGGGGUCACAGGAUUACUUUGGAGGAAGACUCGGUUUUUUGGAAGGAAGGAAGAAACGGGCAGUUUAGAGUCAAGAAAGCGUACAACUUGUUGGUAAGCCCCAUGGCCGCCAUUUUCCCAAAAAGUAACAUUUGGGUGGAUAGAGUUCCAACCAAAAUUGCGUUCUUUGCGUGGAAAGCCGCUUGGGGGAAGAUGCUUACUCUUGAUAGACUCCAGAAAAGAGGGUGGCAGCUUCCUAAUUGUUAUUUCUUGUGUGGUUGCGAAGAGGAAACUGUAAAUCAUAUUCUAAUACACUGUACAGUGGCUAGAGUGUUGUGGGAUAUUGUUCUUGGUUUGUUUGGCACUCAGUGGGUUUUUCAGAAACUGUAAAGGAGGUUUUAUUUAGCUGGAGGGACUCUUUUGUAGGGAAAAAAAGGAAAAAGAUUUGGAAAUUCAUUCCGAUGUACAUUUUUUGGAUGGUUUGGAAGGAGAGGAAUAGACUAGCUUUUAAGGGGGGGUGUUAGGAAUUCAGAAGCUUAAAAAUUCUUUUGUUUGUAAUUUAUGGGAUUGGGCUAAAUUGUAUAUUGGAGAAGAGUCGCUCUCCCUUAUAGGCUUUUUGGAAUGGUUAGCUUCCAGUUAAGGGUUGGUGAGUUUUUUGUUUCUUCUUCUUUUAAUAGCGAGGCCUUAGCUACCUUGUAUACUCCUUGUAUGCUUUGUGGCUUUUUUGCCUCUUGUUAAUACAUUCUGCGCUUAUUUAUCAAAAUAUAUAUAUAUAUAUAUAUAUUCAACUUUUAACAUGGACAAGUUGAUUGUAACCAGAAAUAAAGACUUGAGCCCUUGAACUAGCAAUAAACAAAGUACACCCUUUUCAAAAUUUCUAACAAUUAUCAAUAUAAUGUCUUCAACAUGAACUUAACACAGAAAGAUUGCUUAUGUUUGAGAGUAUGCACCUCAACAAUUAAAUUCAAUCUAACAGCAGAAAAUGUAAAAGAUUGUUAGCAUAAAUAACAAACACAAUGAACUGAGCAUAGCUAACCAAAUUAUACAAUUAUGUUAGAAAGCAAAGGCAGAAGAAAAGCAUGUGACACCAUGUUAGACGCAUACUGCAUUAUCUUUUAAAUUUUUCAUACCGUACCUCAGGUGCAACAUAAUUUGGGGUUCCACAUGUGGUAUGAAGAAGUCCAACCCCCUGACAUGGAUAUUAACAUAAACAAUAGAGUGAGCACACACACGCACAUUUAUAAGGUUAAAGGCAGAAUUAUCCAGUGUCAUCUGGUGCAAAACAAAAACAAUCAUGCUUACUUGUUUAGGCAAUGCACUAAGUCCAAAAUCAGAAACCUUCAAAUUUCCAUUCGAAUCAAGAAGUAGAUUUUCAGGCUAAAAUUGAAGGAGAAGCAAAGAAAGAUUACAAGGGAUCAGAACAUGAUAGCAUGAAUUCUAAUCAUCAAAAGAGAUGAGUCACAUGCCAAACAUUGUGGUGCACCUUCAGAUCUCUGUGGUACACACCCUUACUGUGACAAUGUGAUACAGCAUCUAUAAGCUGCUGAAAGUAUCGCCUGGAUUCAUUUUCAGAGAGUCUUCCUUGGUGAACCUGUAUAUGCAUGGCCAGCAUAAACAAGAAUAUUCAGCAUCAGAAAUGAUGGAUAGUUUUUUACCUGAAUGACAUUUUUGGAAUGCUGUGCAAAACCUACAAGCUUAAAGAAAGUCGAUAUUCCUGUAGAAGCUAAAUACUAUAUAUUACCCAUCCACCAGUCCAUAUAUGUAAACAUAAACACAUAUCAACAAAAAUGUAGCUUACUGUCCAACCUUUACAUCCAUCAGUCCAUUCAGCAACAAUUAAAAUGUACUUACUGAAGUUAUUAUAAGCAUUAAUGAAAUGUUAAAACAAAGUACAACAGUGAAGCUAAUCCAACCAAUGAAAUAGCACAUGCUCAUAACAGAAUGCAAUAUCAACAAAAAUGUUUAAAGCUGGAAAUUAUUCCAGGAAACAAAGAAGAAAAAAAUUAGAAUCUCAGAUGUUACAGAAGUACCACUCGUUGAUGGACCAGUGUCUGAAAUUGAAAGUCCUCUCUUCCCUCAACCAGAUAGAUUCUAUCAAAGUCUUAGAUAGGCCCACGCAUUAGCCUUUUGUCAAAAUUGCCAUAUUCGCUAAAUAUUCAAAUAAUUAUCAUAUUCACUUUCUAACUUACAUUAUCAAAGUAAAAGUGGAGAGAAUCAAAUAAAGCUGGAAACUACUGCAACCCAAUGUUGCAGUAAAUUGACGUAUGACAAUGCAGGUAAGCCACCUGGCUUAGGAAGAAUAAUGGAGCUGGAGGCAUAGCUCACAAGCCAAAAAAAAUAUGCUACUUUACAACCAUACAAAAUCAUCUGAUGAUUCAAAUAACAUAUCAACCACCCAACAAGACCAAGCAACAUAUUCCUUUUUCCAAGCACUAGAACAACCAUUUAUAAGUUUGUUAAUCAAAGUAAAAUAUUUAGGAUGCUUCUCAUUGAGUGAAACAUGAUUGAAGAGUUGGUCAUUUUAAAAGAGUGUAACUCCAGCAGUAGAAGGAGCCUUGAACAAACUGCAGCUCUAAAUGUCCUGGUCUUCAAUCAGGACCAUAGAUUAAGCUCAAUAUAUUUUUUUCCUUUUUUCUCCUGCAUCAAAUUGUAAGACUUGAUUGACUCUUUAAAACACAACCAAGUUAAGUACUUGCUAGAACCAAAGAGUGUGCAGGAACUGUGUUCAAUAAAGUCUAACCUUGUCAAAUCAAUCUCAAUUAACAACAUGGGGAUGCAACAUGUAAAAAAUUGGUCACCAUGUUGCAAACUCUACAUGCAAGAAUCUAAUAAGAAAUUACCCCAUGAAUAUCACAGAGUUCCUCAAAUACAGAGCCUAUUUAAAGGAAAUAGAGGGAAUAGCAAAGUGUUAUAGCAGGGAAAAAGCACACAGAAGGUAGUGUAAAUUAGAAUUGAGAUGCAAUCAACAUGAUGAAUCAUUUAAUGACUCUUUUCACUCCAAUUAAUAAAUAUAUUUCCAAAACUGCCUGAAAACUAUGGUCCUUUCUAAGAAUUGUGUGAUUAACACUUUUCAACGUGACAACUUAGUCUAAGACCAGUUUUGAAACUCAAAACUGGUUUUAGAAUCAGAAUGAGGAAACUUUCAAACAAUGUAACCAAAAGAAAAUAGAAACUUUUAAUGUCUUAUUUCCUUUGUCCAUCAAAAAACAAAAAAGAAAAAGAAAAGAAAAAAGAAAACCCAAAAAUAGUUGUCUACAAUCAAAUAAGAGUGAAGUAUGGGGAUCUUACCAUUAAAGAAUAAAAAAUGCAAAAUUAUCAUCAUUCAUUCUUCUUUUUUUUCUUCUUAUAUCAAAUAGCAUAUUAGAAAGUCAACCUAUAAGAACUCCCAUUAUUUUUCCCAGAACUUCUAAACAUUCCAAACAAUGAAACCGAAAGAAAAUAAAAACUUAUAAUGUCUUAUUUCCUUUUUCAAUCAAAAAAACAAAAAAGAAAAAAGAAAAAAGAAAACCCAAAAAUAGUUGUCUACAAUCAAAUAAGAGUGGACUACAGUUCUACUCUUUUAAGAUUUAGGAAGGGGAUGAUGAAUUAAGGUUAUGACAUCGAAAAAAGUUAAAAAUAUGAAAAAUACAAAGAAGAAAGAGAGAUGGAAGAAAAACCUUACAAUAUCCCUAAAAGCCUUCUAGAAGUCUCAAAUAGAAGAAAAAAUAAGAAAUAGAAAAACUUUAUCAUCUCACUAAAGCCUCCUCAAAGUCUCAUCUAAAAAAUUAAAAUAACGGAUUUAAUUAUUGUGAAAGAUGUUCCAAAUAUGGAGGAAUUAGCUUCUUUGUUGGGAUGUGGGGUGGGAAAGUUCCUUUUUACCUUUCUUGGUCUUCCUUUUAAGCCACUUCCAAGUCUUCUACCAUGUAGGAUGUGCUUGAGAAGAGAUAAAACAAAAAACAUUCAAUGUGAAAGCAACAACACCUCUCAAAGGGCAGUAGGCUAAUUUUGAUAAAGGGUACUCUAUCAAGCUUGCCAAUUUAUUUUAUAGGCUUUUAGUUAUUCCAAGAAAAGUGCAAGUGAGAUUAGAAAAGAUCUAGAGGGAUCUCUGGGGGGUGGAUCCCUUGAAAAAAAGCCACAUUUGGUGAAUUGGCAACUAUUCGCUUGGAUAAGGAGAGAAAGGGUUUUACCCUACUGCUCUUAGAUAAAACUUUGUUCAGUAAAUGGUGUUGGAGAUUUGCUUCAAAAAGGGAGUCAUUAUGGAUGUGGGUUAUUAUUGAGAAGAUUGAGGAAGAAAUGGGAGGUUGGUGUUCAUGUGUGGUGAAGGAUGUCUUUGGGAUGGGUAUGUAGAAAAUUAUAAGGAGAGGAUGGGAACACUUUAAAAAUGGAAUCAGCUUAGUUGUGGGAGGUGGAAGGAGAGUGAAAUUUUGGAUGACUAGUAUUGAGGAAUGGUGGGGGCAAGUUGAUUUGGAGAGAAGUCCAGGAUGCUAAUUUUUCAUUUAGAGCUUUCUAUCCAUAUAUGGAAUGAGAAGGAUGAGAGGUUUUCCCUGUGUGGGCAGUUUGAAACUUGUGGGCCCCUAUGAAAGUGGACUUCUCUGCUUGAGAAGCUUGUGUUUGAACCUGUUAAAUGGGAGAAGUUAGACCUUGGUGAAUCAAUAUUAUCUUUGCAGAAAGUGAGGAAGAAUCAACUAACUACAUUCUCUUUCCUUGUGAUAAAACAAGGAUUCUCUAGAACUUCUACUUCUUUCUUUCUUUUUUUCUUUUUUUUUCUUUUUUUGUGUUAAAAAAGUUACUUCAUCUUCUGCAGGAGGGGCUUUAUUGAGCUGGAUGGAAGUCUUGUGGGGAAAAAGGACAGGAAGGUUUGGAGAAUUGCUCCAUUAUGCUUAUUGAGCUGGAUGUGGCUCCCUUCUCCUUGUUAGACUCUAUUAAUUUGUUGGGCUUUGGUUAAGGGAAGGGAGGUUUUCUCUAUUUCUAUUCUCUCUUUUUUUUGUCAUGUGACUCCUUUUGUAUAUUGCCUGUGUACUUUGGUUAUACUUUUUUGUUGGGCACUUUUAAGAAACAUUAUCUUUUCCUAUCAAAAAAAUACAUACAAGCUAUCCUCUCUACAACACUGUUUUCAUCCACAUUACCUAGUACUUACACAACUAUAGAUUUCAAGAUAUAUUAAUUUUAUAAGCAAUGACUCUUAAGCUUCUUUCAUUCAAAAUAUGACCAAUAUAAAUAACAUGUUCUGUCCACAAAACAUCUCAUUACUCUGAGGUAAAUCCAAAAAAGAAAAAGGUACAUAUAAAAGUGUACUAGAAAUGAGCAAAGCAAAAAUGCAACUUCUAGUUUUCUUAUAGAUGCAGAAAGUAAUAAGUAGCUCCCAUUCAAACCAAGGUUUCCAUGUAAUUGAUUCAAUACUAUGAUAUGAUUUCACACCAAAACUCACCAAGCAAACACAAAAGUAAUUAGAAGAUAAUCAUUUCCUAUGUACAUAUAUAAGAAUAGAAGAAGCCUUACAAUUUUAUCAUAUAGUUCUCCUCCAGUGACAAACUCAAGAAUAAUAUAUAUCGUUGUCUGGCUGGCCAAGACCUAGCAUGUGAAAAGAUAUAUAUACAUAUAAAUCAUGAGAGAGAGAGAGAGAGAGAGCAAAAAGUUUAAUUGAUACACUAAUGGAGCUGUUAGACAACCAAUUUUCCUAAAAGUUUAAGUUUAAGCCCACAAUAUAUAUCAUGCACUCUAACAAUUACUAGAUAGAAGGAAAUUUCAAAAUGUCAUAUUAUACAUUACAAAAAAUGUAAACAUACCUCAUGCAAUCUAACUAUGUUAGGGUGCCUGACAAUCUUCAUUAUGGAUAUCUCUUGUUUAAUCUGGAAACAACUAACAAAAAGGUUAGCCAAACAAUUUACAUAGAAAAGGAAGAAGAAUCAAUAAAGCUCAAAAGCAUUAUACUUUUGGAACAUAAUAUUAUAAUCAUAUCAAACACUUAUAGCAUGCAUAAGCAUGACUCAUAAAAUCUUUUCCAAUGGUAAACUACUGUGAAAGUUGAAAUUCCAAUAACUAGGAACCAAGUCAAAAAUUUUGUUAAUGGAGAAACAAGAGUUAAGUGCUUGAAAUUCCAAUAACCUUAAUUUUCUUCAAAUCCACCAACGACGCUAAGUAUGCUUAAUAAUCAAUGUUCUCUAUGUUUCUUCUUAAACCAUCAAUAUUGGCAUUCAAAAUGUUAGUGUACUAGCAUACCUAGAUUAAGUUCAGAAUUUUGUUUUAAAAGCACUUGAUCCAAUGUUACCACUUCUAAUGGUCUUAUUGACUUGAAGGGCAAGAUUGAAGAUUCAAGGAAGUAAAAUAAAUCAAAGUAACUAUGUAAUUUUGGAUUUGGUUAAGUAAUGGCAAAAUUAAUAAUUGAAUCUAAUGUAAAAAGAAGUUUAAAAUAUUGUUUUCUUAUUAGUUCUCACUUUCCAAUUUUAUUAGACUCCCUAUCAUAUUCUAACAAGGGUUUGCACUUAUAAAUAAAAUGAAAAAAUAAUUAAAAACAUAUAUAUUUUUCGUAACCCUUAUAGAAGGAAGGACACACACUAAAAGGAAAUACAUACACACACACACACACACACACAUAUAUAUAUGCAUGAAUUUUCUAUUACUUCACCAAUGUUCCUGAACUCUAAAAAAUCUUUCAAGUUGCAAACUUGAAAGUCCUUUUGGUGGAGAGUAAUUGGUGGGUUGUUGAGGUGUUUACUAAGGAGUACAAGUUGUUGCAUCAUGGAAAUGAAAGCACGGUGCAGGAGCGAGCCAGAGUAAAUCCCCUGGAAGAAGAUUGUGUCUUGGUUAGGAAAAUUCUGUGUACUUUUCAUAUUCAGUGGAUUUGCUUUGUAGUUGAUUGAGACCCAUGGUUUUACAUUUGUAGAUGGUUUCCAUGUAUAUCUUGUGUACUAAUCAAUUUUUCUUUUAUCAAAAACAAGAGAUGUAUUAAUUACAUAUAAAGAGUUCAUGAGAAGGAUGAAGAAUCCUCCCAACAAAUACACAAACCUAAUCAAAACAUAAAGAAACCUUCGCUAUACAAGGAAUUUAUACAAAAAGAUGGAUCACAAAAGAAUGUACAAGGAUUUCAUCUCCUCAAGCCCAAGUAGGCUCCUCUUAUUGUUGGCCCAACCCUAACGGGGUACAUAUAGAAUGCCAACUAAGCUGGAUGACAUUCAAAGGAAUGCCUUUAAAAUCAUCGGUACAAGAGUGCCAAGAAGCCAAGAAAUGAAAUUCCACAACAACUCUGACAUCCUCCAUUUAUCCUCAAAGAUCCUAGCAUUUCUCUCUCACCACAUAAUCCAAAUCAGGGUGAGACAAGCAAUCUUCCAAACGAUCUUGACUCUAGUGGAGUUUCCAAAACUCACAUAAGAAAUAAUCAUCAUGUCACAUAAACUCUUAGGUUGAACCCACACCAUCCCAACCUAUAUGAAUAGCCUGUGCCAUAACCCCAAUGUAAUCAAACAAUGUAAAAGUGAUGGUCAAUUGUCUUUCCACUCCCCCAUAUAUAAGAUGCACCAAUUAAGACCAAGGGCUUUGAAAUAUUUUCUCAAUUGUAGCAUAUCAUUAGUUCUUGUAUCCUACUCAUUGUGAUUUGUUCUUCUAUACUAUAUAUAUUGAACAAAUUAGGUCUAAUAAUAAUUCAUAAAGUUAAAGUUGGGAUUAAUCAAAUUUUCAUUUUCCUCAAUUCCACUAAAAUUGAAUUAAUAAAUUGGAAAAUUAAGAAAUCAGAAAAUUGGAUUUUGACCAUAUAAAUUGAACUACCUAUUCACCUCCCUCUAAGUAAUUUAUGUGGAUUAAGAACACUUUCACAAAAGUUCAAAUUUUCUUCAAGAAAGCUGCCUGAUUUCUCAUGGUUAAACACUAAACUCAGUAGGCCUUGCCCAUAUUUGACUAUGUGACUAUCAGUUCUUACUUCUAGACACACUAAUUAGGUAGUUAUUGACCAUGUUAUGUCAUAUGGAAACUUGGGUGUGACACCGCACCAAAUGGAACCAUCCACACACACACACACACACACAAAAUGAGAAAACAAAACAAAAUAAAAACAACAAACAAGAGGCCAAAGGAAAAAAAAAAAACGCUUGAUGGUAGACAAUCUAGCAUGGACCCCUAUCAAUUUAUUAAUAUAAUAAAAAUAUGAUGUAGAUAUCAACUCAUGUAAAUUCUCUCUCUUUUUUUUUGGCUCAUGACAUUCUUUUUUUCUCUUUGUCUAUUGUUAUGUUCUGACAUUCAAUUUUUCCGUUUACAACCAAAUUCAUUGUCAUUGAAGAUUGAUUUGUCAACUAGUUUAGCAAAACACUUGAAAUUCUAACCACACCCCCCCACCCCAAUUUUUAAAGUAAGUUUAUAAUUUUCCUAAAAGGAUAUAGUAUGGUUUACGACUGAACUUUUCUGCAAGUUUGAACAGGAAGAAAAUUUCAUAUUCUUCUGUAGUUUUCUACUUGAGCAUGCAUCCCCACGUUACUUGGCUGUCAAGAAAUUAUUAUCAGUUCAUAAAAAAUCCUCAUGCCACCACCAUGUAGCUUGUUGAUGCAAAUACUAAUCACAGAAUCUGUAUUACAUAUUUUCUAGUUCACUUUAGGAGCAUUGAUCAUUCCAUGCUACUUUAUUAUUAAAGCCAUUAAAAUAUUUCCCCAGCAAUGUAAAAUAGUAAAGAAGAAGAGGGGAACCAAAAAGAUGGGAACCAAACUAACAUAGAUCAAUGAACUGAAAUUUUGAAACCUUAGAAACAAGAAAUGCUAGACAAUUUAUUGCAACCACAGAAAGGCUUGAAAUGAUGAUGGUGAUUGCAACAAUGAGGUCCUUACAAUUAUUCAAUUGCACAGGUGAGACACAUCUUAUUCAUGCACAUUUCUGCCCUGACCUUCAUUCUAAAACCAUCUUACAGAGGAUUAAGCCACUUUCCCCACUCUAUAAGCUUAUAUGAAGUAAGAGAUAAUGUUAACAGCUGCAUCUGUAGUAUGCACCCAUCUUACAGCAACAUGCUGCACCAUUACUCAAUAUUUCGUGUCCUUAGUCGAGUUAUCAUUCCUCUGUUUAGCACAUUCUUUUCCCCUAUUAUAGUGUGCAUUUUGAGAAACGAAGACCCAAUUGACUUCAUUGAGGUAUCCACACUCAGUAUAAAAAAAUAAAAUAUCUACUGAACAAUUUCAACAUAUUUCAAUUUCCGCUAAUCAAAAUGCAAUUCUUCAUUCAACAGCCAAUACAAAUAAGCACUAGGGACUGAAAAUUUCACUCCAAUGUCCCAAACCAGUUAUAAGGUUGAUUUCAAUUUGCUGACUUUAGGAAGAGAGAAAGCGCUCAUAAUUAAUAAUGAGUAAGGUGUUGUUUGGUUAGAAUUUCAGAAAUACUUCAAUCAUAUUUUUAGGAGCUAAAAAUCAAUGCAAUUUCCACUUAUAAACCCAAUCAAAUAAGCUGGGAAAUGGAAAAUGCAGCAUACAACUACUGUUGAAAGUUGAAAAAUAACAAGAGAAUGUGAUUGACGAUCAAAAGAUAAGUGAAAGGCUAAAGAGAUGCACACAUGCAUACAAUAUAUACAAAAUAACUCCAAAUUCAUAAAGGAAGAGAAAUUUGAUACCUGAUCGACCAUCCUAUGCUUAAGAAUGGUGGACUUUGCCAUAACCUUCAUAGCUACGCUCUCCCCAGUCUCGGUGUUGUGCGCAAAUUUAACCUUGGCGAAAGUUCCUUCGCCAAUUGUUCGGCCGACCUCAUACUUUCCGACCUUUCUCGUGACCUUUUUCAUCGUGACUCACGCUCAUUUCCCACUAAAAACCCAGUGUUUGCUCCAGUUAUCGGUCAAAAUAGAGAUCUGCCAAUCAACAAAUAUGCAUAUUACCAGGGACUGACUAUGAAUUAGAAGGAAAUCGGAAAACGAAUUGAUUGUAAACAACAAAAAACACAUGUGUUGUGUUGUUGAGAAAACGGAGGAGAGGAAAAUGCAAAAGAAAAAUUAACCUUGGCUUUUUCCCUUCUUUGCCUUAGAGAAAAAAACAAUACAAUGCACAGUUUGUUUGCGAAUAGGAAGGAAGACAAAGAAGGAAACAAAUGAUUUUUCUAUUCACUUUUCUCAUGUUUUCUUGGGAAUCAAAUUGAGAAUAACUCGGGAGACAAAAAGGUAGAGAAUCAGAGAAAGGAGGCGAAUGCCAAGACCUAAGAGAUAAUUGGCACAAUUUUGACGGAAGCACGGUGACCUGGAUUCCGUCAGCUCCGGCGCGAUGCGUGGUGUCCGUAAAACAGAGGAAGCGUCCGUCCGCGGUCACAGCUAAAGCUGAGUUGUCAACUUGUCAAAUACCAACAUCUGAUCCUCAUGCGAAAAAACUCAAACUUUUGAUUAAUUACAGCGAAAAUGCACAUAUACGUGUAAAUUGAUUUCAAAUAAAUAAGUCCACGUCAAAUCUUCUAAAAUUAAAAUUUAUAAAUAGAAUACAUUUAUAAAAAUGUUAAUUAAACAAAUUUAAAACUAAUUAUGAUCGUAUGUAUUUACACCAAACUUUAAAUAAAUUAAAUUAACAAAAAAUAUAAUUUGAAUUCAAUUAGGCAUUGUUUGGUAACGGGUUUUCAAUAACAAUUUUUUAUUUUUUAGUUAAAUAAAUAUAUAAAAAAAAUAAUUACAAACUAUUUUCUAUUUUUUUUCUUGAAGACAAAAAAAAAACAUAUUUUCUAAGGACUGUUUUAAAAAUAUAUAUAUAUAUAUAUAUAAAAUAGAAUGAUUAAAAAUAAAAGAAUUAGAUAUAAAAAUUAUUUUAGGUUUUUAAAUAUAUCUUUACUUUAUAAAAUCAAAUAAUAAUUUUAAAAAAUUAUUCUCAAAAAUUAUUUUUUUUUUAAAUUAUUACUAAAACGACCUUAUUCUUUCAAAAUUUUCAUUUUCUUAUUAAAAAAAAUAUAUCAAAUGCCUAAAAAUGAUAUCACUUGCAAACAUGGUUUUAUUUUUUCUUUUAAAAAAAUAAAAUAUAUAUAUAUAUAUAUAAUAUAAUAGCUUUUAUAUAAAAAAAAAAAUAACAAUUGAUCUUAUUAUUAAAAACUCAUUUAAAAAUUUAUAAAAGACUUAAACUAUUAAAAAAUCAAAAAUUAAUUUUAAAUACAUAAUAAAUAUACUUUGUUAGAGGAAAUAAAAUGUGGGGAAGGAGGGAGGGAUUGGGUGACCAAAAAUAAGAUCAUCACAUUUAGAAGCUGACUAACGAGUAACGAGGGGCGAAUAAUUUAGUGGCUGCUUUGGGUUUAAGCAUGUUUAGGAACUCUUCUUUUUUCUUUAAUUAAAUUCCGAAUGUAGAAGUUUGGAAAAUGACGGGUUUGGCGUCUUAUAUUAAAGUAUUUGGCUAAGUCCACGUUAUGUGCUGGCGUAGAUAAUUGCCCCUUUCCAAGUCUCAUCUUAUCUUAUUAAAGAUUUAUGAGUUGACCUGAAUGAACAUUUAGAAAAAAAAACAAAGACAGAAUUGUGAAAUACUUGAACCUAAAUAAUUAUUUUCUUUAAUUACGUUAAGAGUAUGUUUUAAUUAUAUUAAGAGUAUGUUUGGUAAUGAUUUUAUGAAAUAUUUUUAAUUUUUUUUAAUACUUGAAAAUUUUAAUCUUUCAAAUAUUAAAAAUAGUAAAAUUAUUUUCUAAAAUUACUAUCAUACACACUUUAAGAACCUGUUUUACAAUCAUUUUAGGAAGCGCUUUUAACAUUUUUAACAUUUGAAAAAUUUUAUCGUGCAAAUAUUAAAACAAUUAAAAACGUUUUCUAGAAUUACUCAAACACACUCUUAGAGUGUGUUUUGGUACUAAUUUUAAAAAAUAUAAAAAUAUUUUUUAACACUUAAACGACAUAAUUUUUCAAAUGUUAAAAAAGUGACAAAUACUUUUUAGAAUUACGAAACUCUAAAACUUAUUUGAAAGUGGUUUUGAUAAAUAUAUUUUUAUAAAAAAAAAAUAUUUUAAUAUGUAUUAUAUGACUUAAUAUUUGAAUAUAAACUACAAAAUAAUCAUGCUAUCUUUUUUUAAAUCACUCCCACAUGGGUUAAAGCGUUAACUCAAGAAUCACUUUAACUACUAAUUCUUUCAAAAUUAUGCCCUUUAUACUCAAAUUAAUAUAAAAAAAUAAAAAUAAAAGGCUAUGAAAUUUUGUUGGAUUGGUUUUACUUUUAAAAUGAAGAGAAAAUAUUUGGGCUUGUUUUGGUAACUAUUUUUUAAAAUAAUUCUAAAAAGUAGUUUUUGAAAAUUGUUUUCUGAUUUUUAUAAAAUAAAAGUUUGUUUGGAAACCUAAAAUAUUUUUAAUAUAUUUUUAAUAAUUUUAAUUAUGUUUUAAAAAUAAUUUUUAUAUGUAGUAUUUUAUUUUUAAUCAUUUUACAUGUUUGUAUAAUUAUUUUUAAAAAUAACUCUCAAAAAACAAGUGAAGACAAUAUAAAAUAAUUAAAAGAUGUUCUCAAAAAAUAACUGUUAGAAAUUAGAGGCUAAUCCAACCUAUGGNNNNNNNNNNNNNNNNNNNNNNNNNNNNNNNNNNNNNNNNNNNNNNNNNNNNNNNNNNNNNNNNNNNNNNNNNNNNNNNNNNNNNNNNNNNNNNGGGGGGGGGGGGGGGGGGGGGGGGGGCGCGGGGGUGAAUGGGGUGAUAGUCUCUUUUCGCAAAUUUAAACAAGUGAAUGCAAAAGACAAUUAUAUGUAAGUAUAUAAUAACCAAUAUAUAGACAAUUGCAUAUAAAUUAAAGAGUAAGGAAGAGAAAAUGCAAAUACAAGAGUUUAUAGUGGUUCGGCGCAACCCGGCCUACAUCCACUUCCUUUAGCUUCAAUCUCGAGCUUGAGGUUCCACUAAUCCAAGGCUUCCAAACCAAGAGUUCAAGCAAUACAAUUGGAUUAUGGUUCUGAUUCACCCUCUUGGACUUUUGGCUUCAAGCACCCUUUACACUUCUAAAAAAAUAUCUCAUUCUUGAACAACCCCUCAAGUGAUACCCCAUACUUGAGAAACUUCCUUUCAAAGAUUUACAAAUGGAUGAUCUCUAAAAAAUCCCAACACAAGAACUUUAAGCUCAAAUGAUACAAGAAAAAUUAGGAUUGAAUGGUGCACUAAAGAUAUGCAAGUUUUGAAAUAAUGGUGCAAUAAAAAAUACUCUUCCAAGGCUCAAAUAUAAUCAAGAAAGAUUUGAGAAGGUCAAGCUAUUGAAACAAUAAAGAUUGGAGCAUUUUUAUAGAAGAAAAAGUCAAACUAGCCGUUGAGGGUUCGACCGGUCGAGCUAAGGGUCGACCAGUUGACUAGCCGUUAGCAUUUAAUGCUUGACAAGUGACCGUUGGGCCUCAAUCAGACCCCAACUGGACCUUAAUCGGACCUCAACCGAUUAAGGUUCAACCUUGACCGGAAAGAGAAGGCCACUGGGAGAGAGAGAAACUUUUUUGCCUCCCUCAACAAGUCAUCAACUGGACGAGCACAACCGGUCGACCAAUUGAACCGGUUGAGCCAUUUUUUGGUUCAACACCCAACCUUUUUCAACUUAAAACCUUUUAACACAAGUUUGAAAAUCAUUUAAUACAAGGUUUUAGUUGAAAACAUAGAAUCAUCCAAUUCUUAAGAUAUUUAAAACAAUAUUACUCUUGGAUGAUUUUGGUGCAUAAAUAAAGAAUGAAAUGCAUGAAAGUCCUAGUGCACCAACAACCUUACAAAGAGAUCUUAUGAAGAUUUGGUCUUAAAAAACUCUUCUCUUUGAGGUGAUCUUCUUUAUUGUUUCUCCUUGGCUUGAUUUGUCUUUGUGAUUGCCACUUUGGAAAUCGUCUUGCCUAAUCACACUUGAAAUAUGAUCAUUAGUUCUAAACCUUAUUUUGUUAUCACCAAAAUCAAGAUUAACCAAACUUUGAUUUCACAAUACCAUAUUUUCCAUUUUUUUUUGUUCUUAAGAAUAUAAAAUAGUUUUUUAUUAUCAAACAUGUUUUCGAUGUUUUUUGUUAUGAAGAAUAGAAAACUAUUUUAAAAAACAAUUCUCAAACAAACCCUUUAUCUUUGUUUUCCUUUUAAUAAUCAAAUUAAGUACAUAAGACCACAUGAAUAAUUUGCUUUGAAUCUAGACUAAUUUUCUUAGUAAAAUAAGCUCAAAUGAAAUGCCUGCGGGAUAUCAUCAAAUUAACAUGUCAUUUUCAAUCCUAAUUGUGAAGUAGGUGGGUACCAUUCAUUUUCAAACUUUGCAUUCAUGGGUAAAAAGACUUAUGAUUAAUGGUGUGGAAAAUUGAAUGCGUGUGAUGUGAAGAAUCAUAUCCAUUCAAUAAUAUUUUAUUAAUAAAGUUUAUUAAUCAUAUUCAUUUUCUUAUUGAUCUCUAUCAUUUUACAACAAAAUUGACUCAUCAUGUACCAUUAUAUUUUAUUAAUAAAGUUUAGUCAAAUAUCAUCGAUGUAUUAAUUUAGAUUGACAAUUCUAUCACAUUUUUACCGAUCAAGAUUCGAUAUCAUUCCUUUGGUCUUAUACGUGCUUAAAGUCAUUAAAGCUUAUGAAAAUUCUCAAGAAACAAAGUCCAGAGUAGUUUUUGAAAAGGUACAUUCAAACGUCUAUUAGGAAACAUUUGAACCAUUAGGAAAUGUUUGAACAUCGAUUCUUUUUGUAGUGUAAUUUCAUUCCAACUUCAUGUUUUUUUUAGGUAAUGGCAGAAAAAGGUUUAACUGCGUUCAAAAAAUUAACCUAAGGUUUUGUCUAGUAUAAAAGGAUUAUUCUUCUGAAAUUUGAAACCUUUGAAAAAAUAGAUAUUCAUUAACUUGUGCAUCAAUCUCUCAAAACUUUCAAGAUCUUUUCUUGCAAGUUUUCAUCAGAUACAGUAAAAGUAUACGACUCACAUCGUAACUUCGAUCAAGACUUUGAGUAAUACAUGAAGAAGCAUGAAGAAUAUCAUGUCAAAGAUAUGGAAAAUGAGUGUAAGUGUCAUUGAUAAGACCUUAAGAAAUAUGAGUACUUGAUCAAGUACAACUGUGUACAAUUUUCUCAUAUUUAGUGGAUUAUUUAAUGAUUGAAAUAUCAUUUAUGAUUUUUUUACACCUAAGGGUUUCGGAUGGUUUUUCCUGCAUUUAAAUUUGCAAUUGAAUAUUCUUUUAUAUGAAAUUUAUCAACUUUUAAUCAUAAUUGAUAUAAUUAUUAAAGAAAAUUAAAAAGUCAGGGUUAAUUGUUUCAACUAUGUAUUUACCCAAUUUUGGUGGUUUUAUUUUAUAGUAAGACAAAAUUCUUUCAAAUAUAUAUACAUAAAACAUUAAAUUUAGAAAUCAUUGGUGUGAAUUUAUAUAAGCUUGCAAAGCUCCCUGCUCAUUUCCCCUUAAAAGAAAAAAAAUUAAAAAAAAAAAAGGAAGGUUGCUUCAAUUUUGUUAAAUUUUAUUGGGUUAUUAUUUGUAUAUUAAAAUUUGCAUUUUUUUCUAUUAAUAAAUUUGCAUUAUCUUUGUUAUAUUUUAAUGGAUUCUUGUUUGUAUAUUUUUAAUACAAGUUAUUUAAAAACUAAUGUGAAAUGUUGGAAUAUCCAAAAUCUGAUAGGUGAAUUAGAGUUAAAGUCACAAGUAGCCAAACAAAAUUCAUCUAACUAAUGUCAGUUAAAUUAGUUAUGCCAGUUGUCAAUAUUUAACAGCUUUAUUGAUCUAUUUCAAGUGUAUAAAUAGACCUUACCUUUACAAUUUUAUCUCAUUUGAAUGUAAGGAGAAUUUCUUAUUCAAUACACGUUUAAGCGCCCCUCUGUUUUCUCCUCUAUUUUCCUUUGCAAUUCUGCAUAUUUUCACAUGAAAUAAGAUUUUUUAUAUGAAUUUUUUAAAAUCAUUUUAAAUUAUAAAAUAUCAUAUUAACAUAUCUAUUUUCAAAUAAAAAGAUAUUAUUUUUUUAAUAUUUUAUAUAUUAUAUCACAUAUUAGUUAAGUGUAAAAAUUCUUGAUUCUAUCUAUAUAGUCAAUUUCUCUUAACUAUAAAGACAUAUUCUAAAGUCAUAAUAUUAACUCAAACUUUACACUCUAUAUUAAUAUAAAAUCAACCAAAAAAAUAUUUAUAUAAUCAAUGGUAAGUUUAAUUAUCGUCCUUACAAAACAACAUAAAGCAUGUUUUGAUUGUUUUAUUACUUAUGGAACUUAUUUUCUUGUUACUAAUCUAAAUCAAACUCUAAUCUAAUUAUUAAUUAAUUACAAAUAUAAAAUAAAAGGCCAGUAAACCUUGAAAAGUAAACCUUGAAAGUAAUUAUGAUAUCUCACAUCUCUUUUUAAAUAUCUAGAAACAUUUUAUCUACAUGAGAAAGUAGAGUAAGUCAUCACAAAUGAUAAAGUCAAUUUCCUACUUGAUGUGAAACUUUUUCCAUCUAGCCUAGUAAGGGAUGUUUUUGUAUCUAGUCUUGCAAGCUUAUGGGACAUGAUGAUGAUGUCAUGGUUGCAUGAGGCAUAUAUGAUAUCCUACACCAACCAGAGAUAAAAGCUUCUGAUAAUACAUAUGUAGUAUACUUCUUUUAACCAUAUAAAUGCAUUUUAAAAUCAUGAAAGUUUAUUAAACUUAAAGUAAAAAAAAUAUCUAUAUGAGAGGGGGAGAACCAUCACAAAUAGUGUUAAAGUCGAUGUUUAACCUUAAUGUGAGACUAUGUUUGUUUGUUUCCACAAUGAGUGUUUGUCUUUCUCGCCCUACAAUAUGAUACAGUAAAGACAUCAUGUUUGCAUCGAGAAAAUGAUUUCAAUAUUCCUAGAGUUUCUAAUACAAUAUAUAUAGUGGACAUUUAAUUGCAUAGAUGAAUUUUUAAGCCAUGAGAACUCAUUGGGUCAAGAGUACACAAUAUUUAUAAGGGAUGAAGCAAAAUGUUACAAAUAGUAUUAAAGUCGAUCUCCACUCUAAUGUAGACUCUAUUUGUGUAGUUUUACAAGCAUUAUUUAUUUAUCUGAUCCCAUAGUAACAUGGGACAUAACAAAGACAUCAUGACUACAUAGAGGAUAAUUAUGAUAUCUCAUAUCGAUGAAGGAUAAAAAUGUUUAACAUUAAAUAUAAGUGAACUAUUUUUAAUUAUGUAAAUAUAUUUCAAAGCUACGAGAACUCAUUAAGCUCAUAAUAGACAAUAUUUUUAUGAGAAUGAACGGAUAAUUAUAGAUAAUACCAAAGUUAAUCUCAAACUGUUAUAAAUGGUAUUAAAGUCAAUCAUCGAAUUCAAUACGUGAUUCUAUUUGUUUUACUUAUAAAAAAUAUUUAUCUAUUUGAUUCUACAAUUUUAUGAAAAUUGAGAAUCAUCUCUCUACAAAUUUUAAAUUAUAAAAGAUACAUAAAAAAAACUGAAAUUUUAUUGGGUUGACUUGACGUUUGAAAGUAAAAAAGAAAUGUUUAUUUUUCCCCCCUCCCUCGUUAAUCGAAUCACGCACAUAAGACUAAAUUAAUAAUUUGCUUUGAAAGUGAGACUAGUUUCAUAUUAAAAUAAGCAGGUGGAUCCCCGCCAGAUGUUAUCAUAUUCAUAUGUCAUUUUCAAUCCUAGAAGGGCAAUGUUAAUUAUUUAAUUAAAAGAAAGCAACUAUGAAUUGACACAAUUGAAAGUGGAUGGGCAUCUUCAUUUUCAAAAUUAUAUUCAAGGAUCAAAAGAUUUAUUAUUAAUGGUACGGUAUGCCUGCUGCGAAGAAUCAUAUCCAUUCAUAGUGUCAAUCAUCUUACAACAAAAUUGAAUGAUUAUUCACCAUUACAUCUUAAUAAUAUACAUUGAUAAAGCAUUGGAUUCAAUAAUCCUUGUAAAAAUUUAUUUAGGGCUGCAAAGCUCCCUCAUCAUAGGCCCAUAUGUCACGCACACAAAAUCCAACACCAAAUUUUUGCGUCCCUCUAUGCCAGCCUUUUAAUAAUGUGUGUGUGACACCAUUUAUUAUAUAUAUAUAUAUAUAUAUAUUAAAAAAAUUACAUUAUUUUUUUAUUAAAUUUGAAUUAGUUAUUGUUUAUACAUUAGAAAAUUGCAUUAACUCCACACAUUUUAAUUAAUUAUUGUCUAUAUAAUUUUUUAAUUUAAGUUACUUAAAACUUAAUGCAAGAGUUUUCAUAUAACCUUUUGAAAGAAUUUUAAAUUAUAUAAAGAAAAUCAUCAUAUAACACAUUGAUUUUCAAAUGAAAAACACUAUUUGUUUAAAUGUUUUAUAUUUGUGUCCCUUAUGGCUUACUGUUAGAAGUUCUUGAAAGUAUAUGUAUGGUGUGAAGUGUAACUAAUCCAACUUAGGUAUACAUUAAAUAGAGAGGGAGAAAGGGGAGUGGGGAAAGAGAAAGACAAGUGUUGUUAAAACUUAAGCCUUUUUUAUAAAUGUUUUCAGAAACAAUUUUGAAAAAUAGUAUUUAACAAUAGUUUUUUAAAGUUAUUUUAUAAUAUUUUUAUAAAACAAAAGUUUAUUUAAGAACUUAAAAUAUUUUUAACAUGUUUUUUGUUUUUAAAUAUGUUUUAAAAAUGAUUUUUAUAUUUAAUGUUUCAUUUUUAAUUAUUCUAUAUAUUUAUAUAAAUAUUUUUUAAAAUAGUCAUAAAAAAACAACUAAAAAAUAUUCUCUAAAAAUAUAUAUAUAUAUAUAUAUAUAUAUAUAUAUUGUUUUAAAAACAGAAACUAUAAAACAGUUUUUUUUAUUACCAAACAUAUUUUCUUGUUUUUGUUUUGGAAAAAAUAAACUUGAGGAGGUGGUGAAUUUAGAUGGGUUAUAUCAAACCAUAUUAAAAUUAUUAUUUCCAUUCUAUAAUAUUUGCUCUUUAUUGUUUUCUUAUUAUUGUUAUUAAUUAUUAUAUUGUGUCUUUUAUCUUAUAAAAAGGUAAAUUUAAAAAAAUGAACAUCACUUAAUUGAUCACCAUCAAUUUGCUAUAGUGGACUUCUCAAGGAUGAGGAAGGGUGACAACUAAAGGUAUCAUGAUGUUAAGUUUGAUUUUAUAAGAUUAAAAAAAAAUUACAUGCUUAUGUGUUAUUAUAUUUUUAUAAAAUUAUGAAUUUUGCUUAUGUGGCAUUUUGAUUUUAUAAAAUAAAAAAAAAUAAAAAAGUUUUAAUGUGAACAUCUAAAAAUUCUAGCAUUUUAUAUAAAAAUUAAUAGUACUAUUUUCUUAUUUAAAAUAUAGAAAAUAAGAAAUGCAUUCAAACAUAUACUAGUAAUUAUAUUAAACAUUGAAGUAAUUAUGUCCAAUUUUAUUAGUUUGACAAUUUAAAAUUUGGUAAUCAUAGCUACAUUAAUAAGAAUCAUACACCCAUUCCACUACAACCUUUUGGAAGACAUCCUAGUUUCACAAAGGAGGGAUUGAUGUAACCCAAAAAUAUCAUAAUAACUAAAAAUUAUUUAUAAAAGACAAAUUUCAUGUAAUUAAAUUUCCAAAUUGAUGAUAAAUGUAUUUCAUAUAGGGAUGGCAAUGGAACGGGUUUUUUUGAAUAUCAGUUCUGUCAUGUCUCUAACGAGACGAGUUUGAAAUUUAAAUAAAUGAGUUUAGGACGAAUUUGAGAUUUUUUUUAUACCUGAAACAGGUUUGAGGCGGGUUUGGGUAUUACUUUGUCCCGCUCUGCCCCACCUCGAUUAUAUAUAAAAUUAAUUUUAAAAAUUAAAUUAAAUUUUUUUCUAUUUUUAAUAUAUAGAUAAUAAUAAAAUAAUUUGCAAUAAAAUAACUUAUAAACAAUUAUAAUAAUUUCAUUAUUCAUAAAAUAUAUUUAUUUUAAUGUAAUUAAAAAAAUUAAAUAACUUUAAAAAAAUACAAUUUUUGAAAGAAAAAAAAAAAGUUAAAUGGGUAUUUCAUACCCACCCGGCUUCACCUUCUCCCCUUUAAUUGUUUUAAAGGGAUGAGAAUGAAAAUUAUUUUAAAUAAAUGGGAUGGAGCUGGGAUGGGGGCGACUUGUCUUGAAGCUGCCUCAUUGGCAUCCCUAAUCCCUAUGUAGCAUUUCAAAGACCCCACAAACAUAAUCAAAACCAAAAUAUAUCAUUAAAAUUUGUAAUCAUAAAAAUAACAUUUGUCACCAUAAAAAUAACAUGUUCCUAACAUGAUGAUUGACAUAAUUAUAUACUACAUGAAUCAAAGAUGAUACAUGAAUAACAUGUUCCUAAAAUAAGUUAGGAACAUGAUAAUUGACAUAAUUAGAUAUUAUAGAUAUACGUAAUAAAUAUUAAGUUUUACUAAAUACCUUCCACCGUAUCAAUAAAAUUUGAUUUUAAUCGUCCUUUCUCAGUUUGCACCCAAGGCCCAAUCCUUUUUGCAAUUUGAAGCCCACAUGAGUCUGCACAAUUAGAUCAGGGAGUUGAAAGGGCUUGGGUUGGAAUUACUCCCAAGCCCUUUAAAGCAAAAUGAAAAGUUGUACAAAAUGGAAUUUGCAAAUUACAUUUUUCAAAAAGGUGGGUAAUGUGGAAUUAUUUAAAUUGCCAAUAAAAUUAUACUAAUGGAAAUGAAAACAUCACUUGUUGUUGAUCAAUCAAAUAUCCAACCGUACCUUAACUCAACUAAUAAAUGGGACCAUUCCUUCAAUGCUCUAAAUAGCCAUAAUAGCACUUAGCUUCAUCUUCAUCAGUAAUCAUAUUAGGAAUAUUUGUGUUCCAAAGAAUAUUAAAAUUGUCAAGGGGGAUAAUGUUGGUAUUAGUCAGAGAAUUAUCUAGAUAUUUUUAGACUACUUAUCUGAAUGGAUAGGAAUUUGGGGUAUUACGACCCCUUAGGAAGUUUAGCCAUUUAGUCAAUGUGUUGGUUAUAUAGAGUCUACUUAUUCUAUAGCCUAUAAAUAACAACUCUGCAAAUCAUUUCUGCACCUUCAAUACAAUUGUAUGUGUCCCAUCUUGAUCGAGAGAGGUCAGGAAAAUGUCUGGUUUGAGACACUCAUGGGAGGACAACAUGAGUUUAUAAAAAUUAAAUUUUAAGUAAUUAUUUAAAAAUUAUUAGUAAUUUAUAUAUUUUUUAGUUAGUAUAUUUAACUAUAUUAUCUUUGACCAAGUAUUACAUUUGAUCACAAGUGCAUGAAAUUUGAAUUAUUUUCAGAAGAUUCAUAUUUUAUAAUUAUUUAUAUAUGAAUAUGUGGAAAUACAUUUUUUCCUAAUUAGAGUGUAUAAAAAGUUAAUUUUUAAUUUUUAUCCAAUUUAUUAACCCUAUUUUUUUUAAAUCACAAUUUUUAAUUAAUUUUAAUUUUUUUUUCCUUUAGGUUAUGCAAUGUAGGACUUUGGGUUUUCAAAAUAGGGAUCCGUAGCUUUGAAAAUAACAAUAAUAAUGGAAGUUAAGGGGAAGUACUUUUCUUAAAAAGGUAAGUAUUUCAAGAAGCUUUGAAAAUUAAUUUUAAAUAUUUAGUGAAUUUAAUGUGAUUUUUACAUUAAUAUUUAAUUUUAAAAAUUAUUUUUUAUAUCAUAUAUCAUAAAAAAUUUUAUUAAAACCUUUUUUUUGUGUUUAUAAACAUGUGAUCAUGAUCUAAUUUUUUAUAUAAGCAUUAAUGCUAAAAGUGUUAUUAAUAAAAAUAUACAAAAAUAUUAGGAUUACGUUUUGUUGCUAAACUAGGUUAAGAUCAGAUGGAGUGGGUUCAUAUCUUAUAAUGGGUUCAUAUCUUAUAAACUAGGGAACUUCGGAAUGACAACUAUCUUGAUUCGUAACUAGUUAUGAUUUCAACACUCUUUAUUCUACUAUUCCAAGCUAUGAAGAACAAUGCUGAGAGAUAAAUAAAUCCACUUUUUUAUUUUAUUUUAUUUUAUUAUUAUUAUUAUUAAUUUCAUCUAACUCACUUUAUGGAUCUUAAUAUUUCAUAUCUAAGGAUAUAUAAUUUUUUUUGAUAUUACAUUUAAUGACAUAUUAUAUCAUGCCUAUAUUUAAAAUUUAACAUACCAUACUUCAAUUUUUGAUAUGUUUUUUAACAAAAGUUUGAAAUAUCUCUCAAAUUUAGUAUUAUACAAUUUAUUAUUUAAUAAAUAUUUUUUAUUUCUUUGUUAAUAAUAUUAAUGAUUAAAAAAUUUAAAAUUUAUAAAUAAUAUAUGAAAAUAUUCGGUAUAUAUUAAAUAAUACAUAUGUUAAUAUUAUUUUAUGUUGCAUUUUGUACAUAAUUUUUUAACUCUUUUAUUUUUUUAACAACAAUUUUAAUUUUUAAUUAAAUUUUACCUUUUACAAAAUGUGUAAUGUAAAAAAUUGAAGAAAUUGAACACUAAGAGUAAACUCACGAUCCAUGAGAUAUAUUCACAUUUCUAAUUAGAAUUAUCAUAAAAUUUCGAUUGAACUUUAAAUAUAAUAAGUGACAAAAUAACUUAUUAUAUGUCAUUAUGAAUCCAAUGUAAUCUUAUCAUCAAUAAUCCAACAUAAUUAUAUCAUGGACUCACUUAGAAUAUGAUAUAUUAUUUGAAAAUGUUAAGGGACUGUAGCAAGUUUUAUUGAAUAAAAGAUUUAGACUAUUAAAUAUAUACGAUAAGAUUUAGAUUGUUAAAUAAGAACAUAAAUAAAUAGAAUUAAAAUAUAAAAAUAUGAAUAAAUGAAAUUAAAAUACAAAUAAUAAGAUAUGGAAAAAGUACACCUUGUAUUAUAGCAUAUCAUGUAUUAUUUUAUUUUUUUAGACUUCCUUUUUU
RNAcentral lists this long non-coding RNA (68295 nucleotides) under Vitis vinifera (wine grape). RNAcentral describes it as "long non-coding RNA (VVIN_LNC003425)". The record is from RNAcentral. Lineage: Eukaryota; Viridiplantae; Streptophyta; Magnoliopsida; Vitales; Vitaceae.